Molecule: long non-coding RNA, 49432 nt
Filed under: Phoenix dactylifera (date palm)
Lineage: Eukaryota; Viridiplantae; Streptophyta; Magnoliopsida; Arecales; Arecaceae
Description: long non-coding RNA (PDAC_LNC005354)
Source: RNAcentral
UUGUGUUUAGUUGUACCCUUGCUUCUAUGUUUUCUCCAAAUAUAUCUUGUGAGAUCAUAUGUCAAAUAUUCACUAAUAUAUCCUAUACAACAAGCAAGUCUUGGAGUUUAGAGUAGCAUUUUUUGAGCUCACACUUUUUGAAUGAAUUAUAUGACAUAGCUUGAGUGUCUCAUCGACUAAGUGAAUUGUGUGCCAAAAAUUUGUCAAUUGAUUAAGUCAUUCCCUUUGUUCCAUAAGCACACGAGCCUGUAUUUCGCCCCUAAAGAAUAUCUAAUUUCACCACUUAGCCCCGAUUGUGUGCCACAGACCUACAAGCAUAUGGAUGAUCAUCAUGCCAGGCCCCUGCCAAAGUAUGUCUAAAAUUGUCAUCAAACAUUAGAUUGGUCAUAGCAUAUAUCAUUAAGAAGGUAAAAGUUUUAAACCUUUAUGUCAAAAUAACGAUCUGUAUAAUGUAUAUAUGUUGCUAGUAGUCAAUGAUAGUAAGUAACACCGAGUAACAAUGAAAUAAACUCUGUGGUAAUUUCAAAAGCAAGGAGGUGAGGUAAAUUAAUAUUAGUGUGAAGGGCCUUCACUAGUGGAUAGAUACAUGGCUAACGAUAAUUCAUGGCUUUAAAACAACAAGGAGGUGAGGCAAAUUAAUAUUAGUGUAAAGGGCCUCCACGAGUGGAUAGAUAAAUGGCUAAUGAUAAUUCAUGAUUUUAAAACAAUUGAAUCCUAUCAUCCUCACCUCCCAUGUAGAGCAACUUUUAGAACGAUGAUUGUUUAUUUGAAUGCAUACAUAUAUACAUACAUACAUACAAUCGAAUCCUAUCAUCCUCACCUCCCAUGAAGAGCAACUUUUAGAAAGAUGAUUGUUUAUUUGAAUGCGCACACGCGCGCGCGCACACACACACACAUAUAUAUAUAUAUAUAUAUAUAUAUAUAUAUAAGUUGGAGGCUAUGAAAAGUAUGAAAGACUUUGGGAGAGUGACAAGCCGGACCCAGCCAACCUUUGUGGUGUUUGUCAUGACUUUGAAGAAGAUUCUUAAGGAGUGGACUUAUGACCCCUUUUUUUAACCCCUUCCCAUUCUGGCAUUCUUUGCAGGUUAUAAUAUACUCUUGUCUCUCUGUUCCCUCUCUGACUUAAAUCACUUUGUUGCUUUGGAGGUUAUCACAAUGAUCUGCCUUUCAUCCCUCUAGAAGUUGUAAAUAUUUGUAUGUGAGAAAGAGAGAGAAAUUUGUCGAAACCACCUUUUUAUGUUGUUGGAUAAGACGUGUUGUUAGGGAAAUGGUUCAGAUUUUUGGGACACUGGCAUGGAGAUGAAGUGGUGGAAAGAAACCAAACUCUUUUUGAGGUGUUUUAAAGUCGAAGCAAGAUGGGACUAGAAUCGUAUUUUAUAUAUUACUUUCUAUCUAUUAAUUAGUUAGUCUAAUUCUAUGUAUGGUUUUAUAGCAUCUCUCUGUCGUCCAUGCAAGUUGGAUACUUCUACCCUGCUCCCUCUUCCCACCAGUUGAAUGUCCAAACAGGCCCAUGAUGUAUCUCCAAGGUCCUUGAGGCAUCUCUCAUGUAGGAUGAAGUAAUUAUUUUUUGAGAAAAGAUAAUGGAAAUUAUUAAAAUGGUUUGCCAAAUGUUUUAAAGGCAUAACCACCUGUGUCAGCAAGAGGAGAUGCACUAACACAUGAAGAAACCAAAUUAGUUAAGAGUGAUUUUUUUAGCAUAAUUUUAGGGACCACAUAACAAUCUGUGUCAGCCCGUAAUAUUUUUCUUUAUUAGUGUGAUCUUAUAAGCCUGUAUUAUUUAUUGUUUAUAUCAGCAUGAUCUUAUUAGAGUAAUUUUAGGGGUCACGCAACAGCUUGUAUCAGCCUAUAAUAUUUUUCUUUAUUAGCAUGAUCUUGUAUUAGCCUAUAUUAUUUUCUUUAUAUAGAAUUUGUACUAGGGCUGAAAUUGGAUAUGGAUCGGACACUAGUAUAUCCAUAUCCAUAUUUGGUUUGUUUGACGAAUACAGAUAUGGAUACGGAUAUUAGUCGGAUGCAAAAAUUUAUAUACAUAAUGGUUUUAAAUAGAUACUGAUACAAAUCAGAUAUUAAAAAUAUAGAUAUAAAUAAGAGUAUAAAUUGAAUAAUUAAACUUUAUGACCACGUAAUCAAAGAUAUUACUAUGUAGAUGAUCAAUCAAGUUAAUAGCAUAUUAACAUGGUCAUUUAUUUUUCUUAAAAGUUUAUGAGUGCUUUAUAAAAUUAUAUAUAGUUACAAAUAGAAUUAGAUAUUUGGAUACGGAUCAAAUAGUUACCUAUCCAUAUCCAUAUCUAUUUUUCUUUGACGAAUAUAGAUGGAGAUACAAAUAUUAGUCGGAUGCUCAAAUUUUCAUUAAUAUCCGGAUAGUUUCAAAAACGAAAACGUAUUCAAACGAAUAUUCUUUGAUCCACUUUCACCCCUAGUUUAUACACUAGUACAUAUAAUCCAGAAGAUGUACAAAUACGAUGUAACAAAAAUAUAAAGUUCUCUCUCACUUUCUUUUUUAUUUUUUCCUUCUUCUGCAACUUAACAUGGUAUUAGAGUCACCAAUUAUCUAAUCUGCCACUGCCAUCUCUUUUAUCUCUGUGUAGCCAUGUUUGGAAGCCUUGAGGACUCCUAUUUUUGAUUUAUCGAUCUCUAUUUCUUAAGAAAUCAACACCCAAAGAUUCGCUAUUAUUUAGUAGAUUCGCAGAUCCUCUAUUCCCAAUAGAUUCUAUGUUUCUUAGUAAAUCAACACCAGAAGAUCAUAUAUUUCCUAGUAGAUCUGAAGAUCAUCGAUUUUAUGGUAGAUUAACACCCAAAGAUCCUUUGUUUUUGGUGGUUCCGUAGCUCUUUACCACUGCCUUUCUUCUCAACUUCAGAUCUUUUGUCGACUCUCCUCAUCGUCGCUCGACCUCUUCUCUCCAUCUCUAGUUUCAGUUACUACAUUCGGCUCUUUCACCACCCAAUUCAAGGCCUCUUCCUCCUCUUUCAUGGUGCCUCCAUCUGUGAGGAUCAUUGACCUUCGGUUUUCUUCUCUUCGGGCAUCGAGUGUCACUGCAACUGCCACCUUCUGUGUGCCUUUUCACAGCCACAUCAUCUAAAGCAGCUAUAAUAACUGACACGACACUCUGCCACAUCAACGUAUACAAGCUACAUUAGCGUAGACAGAGACACGUCAUCCUGCCAUAUCAUCUUUGACCAAUAGUGACAUCCUACCAUGUUAGCUGCCAAGCUUACCACAUCAGCUAUUUUGCAAUGUCACCGCAAUAUGAGAGCCACAUCAGCCACUAAUUUGAUACAACAUUCUACAUUAUGAAAUAUGUCAACCAAACACAUUACUUUGCCACAUCAUGGGGUGCAUCAAUUAGGCACGUCGGCAUAUAUGUCAGUCUCUCACAUCAGUCAAACAUGUCGGCAAAUAUACUAGUCUACCACGUUAGUGGACACGUCGGUCUACCAUGUCAAUUAGCUAUAUUAGCAUUACCAACUAUAUCAAUUUGCUACAUCGGCUCUCUGAUCCGCAAUAUCAGCUUUUAAGAUGCUAUAUCAGCUCUUGAUCUUCCAUGCCAAAUUCUAUGCUGUUACAUCAGCUUGAUAUAUUAAUCUACUACAUUGGCUUUUGAGCUGCUACAUCAGCUCCUAAUCUGCCACAUCCGCUUUUGAGAUCCUAUGAUAGCUCUUAAUAUGUCACACCACCUUUUGAUCUGUUGCUUUAGCCUUUGAGCUGCCAUGUCAGCUCUUGAUUUACCACCAUAUUAGUGUUCGAGCUGCUAUGUUCGCUUCUGGUCUAUCAGGUCAGUUUCUGAGCUACUACUUCAACUUCCGAUCUGCAAUAUCAACUUUUAAAUACUUUCGUGAUUUGAUUUUUAUCAUAAUUUUGGGAAUCAUGUAACAACCUGUAUUGAUCCGUGGUUUUUCUUUAUUAGCGUGAUCCUAUGUCAGCUUGUAUUAUUUUCUUUAUAUAUAGUAUGUACAUUAGAUUUAAACUCGUACCUUGAGGAUCCGUGGUAUACCGAAUGUGAUGAAACAUAAAUAUAAAGUUCUUGCUCUCUCUUUCUCUCUUAUUCUGCAAAUAUUUUAAUAGAUUUAAACUCGUACCUUGAGGGACUUCACCUGCAAUUAGUUAGAAAGCAUUUAAUAAGCAUUUGAUGCAUGUUAUAAACUCCUUAAAUAUAUUAUAUCACUUUUUUUUCUAGUUUAGAAAAUUGAAUUGGAAAUAUAUAUAAUCUGUGCAUUUUAUUCGAAUUCCACACAAGAAGCAUUUUGACAUCAAGUGACAACUAAAUUUUGGACUAAGAUUAUUCCUUGCAUCAAAAUCAAUGGUUUUCAAUGUAAAUUAUGUGCUAUGGCAAUUAGAACUAAUAAUACUCUAAAUUUUCUUUUUUGAAGAAUAAUUAUAGCUAGGUACCCCACCAAUUAUUCAAAUAAUUGAUGCAAGAAUUUUUUGUGUUAAAUGUUUGCAAAAGCUCCUAAGGUUCACAUGCAGAUCAUUAUCCAUCUGAGGAAGGGUGCCAACACUAGAUUAUACCCUAGCUUAUAGCCCUUUAAACAUGUUAAGGCUACUAAACUAAAGUCCUAGCAACUUUUACUCACAAACAACUUUUCCAACUUGUAUUUUGUCUCUGCAUGGUUCAUUCUUCAAGCUAGUUGCAUUAGGUACAUACAAGUCUUAGUGGCGCAGAGGAACACGAUAGAUUUGUAUAUAACCUAUAUGUACCGUAAUUUCCUUUUUUUCUUUUUUCACGUGCUUGUGCAUGCAUGCAAGUUUAUAGUAUAUAUAAACCAUCUCUUUUUCCCUUUUUUUUGUGGGGAGGGGUGGGGAGAAGGAUGGACAAAGUCUAGCCAAAAUUCUGCUGAGGAUGGGAUCGAACCAAGGUUAUAGUAUUCAACAUCUAUAUAAAUCUACUAAUUCAACCAGUUCGUACCUUCAUCUCGAUGGAAAUCUGAAUUAUUUUUUUUAACCUAACAUAACUUUUCUUUUUAUUUAGGAAUUUGUUGGCACUACUAGAGGUUCUCUAUGAAGCAAAUCGAACACAUCCUACUAAAUAGAUGUGCAUGCAUACAGAAGAGUAAAAAGAAAAGAAACUUAAACCGUAAAUUGUCACAACCUAUUUAUUCUUAUAGUUCAAAAGCUAUAUCUUGCACACAUGCUUCUCAUAUCAAGCAGCAUGUUCUUUUUAGCUUUUGUACUACGGAUUCUCAAAUUCAAUCAAUACCAGUUAUUCUUCAUUANNNNNNNNNNNNNNNNNNNNNNNNNNNNNNNNNNNNNNNNNNNNNNNNNNNNNNNNNNNNNNNNNNNNNNNNNNNNNNAUUUCAUUGCCAUUGCCGGAACUCUUCAAGCAGACUCCAUGUACAUUCUUGUGUCUCAUGCUCUAAAGUUAACUUUGAAUGAUACCACUACAACUCACAAAGUCUAGUGAGAAUUAUGAGAAAACAAAAAAUAUGUGCAGAAUAGUCAGCCUUUCAAGAGCUAGCAUAUGCCAGCGGCAGCAAGUGCUUGGAAGAUUACAUCCCAAGAUAACUGAACAUUCCGGAUUCGUAUGAAAGGAUAAAAAGGAGGUGAAGAGGAAUGCAUGAGUGUGGAGUGGGCUAAAAUCAUUGUCUUGGCAGAACUUUUCCUGUUAAGUGCACAAGCUUGUGAGGACCGCAUGGGAUAGAAAACAUACAUUUUUAAAUCCUAGUAGGAGUUUCAUCAAAAAAAUAAUAAUAAUAAUUUCAUCCAAAAAAAAAAUCUACAGCAGGAGUUGUUUUAUAGAGUUUAAUACGAAGAACAGUUCCAAACUUACCUGCUGCAGUGAUCUCAAAACUGACCCAUAGGCCAAGUGUAUGUGUGUUCAUGUAGAUCAUGUUGUAUACUUUCUCAUGAUGAAGCUAUUGUGAUCUGGGAGUCGUCGUGCUGAUACUGAACUUAUUGGUGCAUGUGAACUUCAUGUGAUCUAAUUGAAGAUUGGGAUCUAAGUUGAAGAACCAUCAUGGCAAGGUUAUUGAAGUAGUUGUGGCUCUCACAUGUAUGGGAGGUAAAUAUUGGCAGUCUUUUAGCUUGGAAGAGAGCGUUCACAUUUAGCCACAAAGGCAGAUGAAAAGGCCACCAAACUAUGGAAGGCAGCAGCCACAACUCCAUAAGUGCUCCACAAGCCUCCAUGGCAGGUGCACUUUUGUUUCAGGCGAUCAACAACCAUGAACCUAUAUUCUAUCAAAAUGGGCAUUGAGCUAUGCAACGUUUUCAUGGGAAGUGUCAACAUGAGUAUAGGUGAUUUUUCGAGUUGUAUUUUGUUAUAGCAAAGCUCAACUAGAAAAUUAAAAUGCUGGAGAAAUGUCUGUGCAUGGAGCCCAUGAAUGCUUCCUUAGAGCUGAGAAAAGUCACAAAGCAUUCAUAACUUCGAAGGAAAACAGGGUGUAAACGCAUUGAGGUCACAAGAAUAUUUUAGCUCCACUAAACGGGAACGGGAUUUUUAUAAGGGAUUACAAACCGUAAUCCUAAGACAUCCAAACGCAAUCCCAAAGGAAGGAUUAAUCUUUGUUUAAGUUCACAUGCACAUCCCUUUAGCCUCAAAACAACUCCAAAUCGCAUUAGAAAAUUGCUUAGUGAGUCUUAAAGAGAAGGGAAAGGGUUCUCAAUCGUCACUGUACGUUGUCUGUUUCCUCCCUUCGAAGCGACCUCACUCCUUGCCUUGUGUACAUAUUUAGAUUAAGAUAAAUUCUACUGUAUUGAGAAAGAUACUUUAGCUCAUUAUAGGUGGAAUGAUCAAUCACUCCUAGUAAGGAUAAAGCUCUUAGGCCAAUUGUACCAUGAGACAUUUAAACAGUCCAUGCAUCAUUAUGCUACUAGGAGACCAAGGUCAUUUGUGGCCUUCCUUUGAUGUCCCAGUGCUAGAAGCUAAGGCAUAGUAAUUAUUGGCCUUUGGUCUAACUAUCAUUUUAUAGUUACUUCUACUAAAACAAUUUGUUCUCAUAAUUUGUGGCUUAUUUUUACGCAGAUAUAUGCCUUGUGUAAUAAGCAUUUUCCUUGGUUUGUACGUACUACAUAGAUGGGCUAAGGUCUAAAAUUAAAAUAGCUAUCAAAAUCAAGAGUAGGCAUUAAAAUUUCUGGCCAAUCAAGCCAAAACAUAAAAUGACAAUCAAACCUAGACCAUGAUCAAAAAGACCCCCAAAAGGUGUCCAGUAGGUUACCACUGCACAACAUUAUAGUCAAGAAGGAUGCAAAGAAAUUUCUGUGCAAACUCUUAAUCUACUAUCUACAUGGCCAUCCUUUUGCCUAUUUUCACAUCUUUCAAAAUUUUCAAAUACUUCCAAGACAUCUGUGUAGCCCCAAGUUGAGAAGAGAAUGAAAUCUUUGAUAAAAGGCUUGCAAAUUAGGCUCUCAACUUAGCAGCCCUUCGCAUAAGAUAAGAGAACAAAGUGGCUCUGACCCUCAGACUGUGAGACUUGAUUGUAGUCACAAGUUUGGCAACGCAAUGGGGAGAGUUCAAGUAUAAUUCGAAAUUUCAUAUAGCUAGAACAUAAGCAAGCAUUAAUAAAGUGAAGAAUAAUGUAACAAAUUGUUAUAACUAUAUAUAAAUUCAUGCAAACCAAGCUUGGGAGGACCGGAACAAUAGACAAUAGCAACAUCAUUACCAUCAAUGGCAACAUGCAGCAUAGUUAUAUUGUAAUUCAUAAGUUCUACACAUAUGUCUUGGAGGAUCCACUUAUAAAAUCCAACUUGUGUAGUUGAAAAGUUCUUGAGAAUUAUGUGUACUGCCCUUUGGCACAAGUGCAAUAUAGUUUUUAGCUGUUGAAAUCACCAGUCCUCCCAAAAGCUUUAGCUAACAGGAUGAGACAGGGUUUGAACUUAGGACCUCUGCUCUGAUACCAUGUUAAAAUCACCAAUUGUCUCAAAAGCUUAAGAUGAUAGGAUGAGGUAGAUUUAUUUACAUAUUUUAUAUUUUCUUACAUUAGCUAAUGUCGCUAAUAAUUUGAUCAGAUAUCUGAUUGUUGGUCAAGUUGGAAGGUCAUCGACUUAGAUUUGAAUACUUCAUUAAAUUUGUCACCAAGUACCGGCACAUAAGUGGAAUUACGUCCCCAUUUCAUGGUGUUGUAAUUGCACAGAUUUCUUUAGACUCUUGGAAGAUAGAGACAGACACAAUCAAACAAGUGGACGGUUAGAUAAAUAUCUCCUACGAGUGUACAAAACUCUUUGUGUCCAUGGCUGGAUUUCCAUGUAGCGGUCCCGGGCAUCUAAUGCCCAGUGACCACAUCAACCUAAUGGUCCUAAUUUGCAGCAUUAUAUUAUCUCCUACCUUUCCUUCAUGAUCAUUAAAGGAUCAGCAAUAUUGGUGGGAGCAUCUGAUUGUGGUCCAUCCAUGGGAUGAUACACCUGAACACUGCCGAAUAUCCUGCUGCAAAUGAACCAAGCUCCUCGUCACAUCUGGGGCUUUGAUUAUUUUCUUUUUUUGUUUUUGUUUUUUGUUUUGCUUUUUUGAACAGUCUAGGGCUUUGCUUUAUUAAGUGGCUCCAAGAACCCAUUUGAUUGGAGAACAAACCAAGCUCAAGAGACAUUUUUUGACCAGAUCAAGGUGCGAGUCUAGGGUUUAGACAGUGUCCAAAUUCUCAACUAAUGGAUUAUAUCACUUACAUAUAGUAACCCCCAUGAAUUGUGAUGCCCUUGGUCUUUAUGCAAUUUAAGAACCCAUGAUUCACAAGAGAUAUGUCCCGAGUGAGGUGUAUCAUGCAAAAUCUACAUUUGUAGAGUUUUUGGCAAAAUAAAUUAUAAUUGAAAUGAGAGAAUUUCAACUCCGUAAAACAAAAGCAAUUCAUUAGCCCUUUUUUUGGGGGCUCAGUUAGAGUUUGUAAAUCAUAAUUCACUUUGUCUAAUGAAUAGAAAUUACUGAAUAUAGGGUGGAGAAUUUUAUUUUAAUUAAUUUAUAAAAAUUAAUAUCUUAUACGAAUUUUUUUUGAGACUUAUAGAAUGUUUGUUGCUCGUUGUGAAUCACCAAGAGAUAAGAGAUAAUACUUAUUUUUUUCAUAUUUAUUGCAUCAUUUCCAAACAACUUUAGAAAACCUAAGAAAAAUACAACAUGCACCAGAAAGAAAAAACAUGAAAAAAAGUAUUUUAUAUAGAACUCUUAGUCUGUCCAUCUCUUCGCCUUAAAGAAAGUUCCACCGCAUACCAAUAUCUUGUAACAAUUUACAACUAGAAAAUAAUAAAGAUAAAACAUUUUAUUUUAAACCUCAACCAGCCAAUUAUUGUGGUGCUUUGUUGGCUGAAGUGUCUGUGAGAAUGUAUCCGACAAAAAGACAUACGCUUCUUAGUAAAAAGCAUAUUCUCGCAUCUUUUCUGAAAAAAAAAAAAAUCUAUCCUAAACAAUGCGGACUUCUUUAUAAAUAACUAUCUAAAUCUCCAUAUAGGUUGACUUGUUAGUGCAAAAUAUGAUCAAAAACUGGGCUUCAUUGUAUUCUAAAGGUUUAUCACAUAUUCUUCUUGCGUACUUGAUUGAUGAGGAUGGCUAAAAUUUUUAAAAAUUGCAGUAGUACAUGUCUCGAAGCCAUCCCCUUCCACAAGCUUUUCUAAUUUUUCCUUCUUUUUGCUCCAACACCCACUAAACUUUUAAAACUGCAAAAGGAACCGUUGGAAUUAAGAGGGAAAGAAGCUAAUCUAAAAGAAAAAAAAAAAGGGGGAAUAGGAUUAGAGGCUGGACAGGCUUAUGCGUUUAUUGGAAUGUGUGGAUGAACAGUGGGGAGGGAGGGGAUAAGGUAUCUCGCACCCCAUAAAACGGGAUGAGAUAGAGUCAGUACAGCCUUGGGUUGGACUCUCCGUCUGUCACUGAUUGGGAUGGGAUGAUGUAUUCAGCUAAAGAAAUCUGAAUUGGGCUGGGUGCCUUUGACGUGUGGUGAUUACUGCUAUGUCAUCAAAAUCCCAUUUAAUUUUCUGGCACAACUGCCCCUCUUCCCUCUUGCAGCCAGUCCCCCAAAUUAAUUCCCCACCACAUGCUUUCCUGUCCUAAUCUCUCUCUCUCUCUGUGCACACACAAGAAGCACACCUUUUUUAAUGGCAUUGAAUAUGUAAAGCCACAAAAGCUUGUGAUUUGUUGAAUGUCUUGAUUUAUUGAAAGGUCAGAACCAAUGAGUUCAGUUGGUGAUGUUAAGGAUCGACAGGAGACAUCAGGAAUUUGAUCCUUUGGGGAUGUGGCCCAUAAGUGUUUGUCUCAUGCAUUGGCAUGUCACCAUUUUCUUUUCCUCUUGUUAAGGCAAUUCAUGAUUAGAAAGUUAGAACCAGGAUAACUAAGUUCUUUAUAUAUGUAGCUCUAUGAUUGAAUUAACUUUAUAUUGGAAAAAAAUAGAAUAGCUUUGUACUAACAUUUCUAUGAGAAAGCCCAACCAAAGGUAAUAAGUAUUUUGUUAGGGUGUAGUGCUUACGGUAUUUUUAAGUUAACCGUUCUCUUUUCAAAUAAGUUGUUUAAACAUGAGAAAUUAGGUUGUUUAGCCACUUCAAAAAUAUAAUAACUAUUUUGAUUGCAUUUCAUAACAUUAAUUGAGUUGAUAUUUUUUUUAUAAGAAAAAAGAAAGAAAAAGAUGAAGAAAGAAAGAAAGGAAAAACUAUACCAAGUAUUUCUAAAAAUUGCUUUUUUGAAUAAGGACUUUAUAAUUAAUUAAGCUUGUUAUUGUUCACAAAAACAAAGGGGCAAAAAAUCCAAGGAAAAGGAUCUUUGAACGAGGCUAAGUAGAAUAAAGAAGCAGAUAGUGAAGAAUAAAGUGAUAUAGGUGUAAAAGAUAUGAAGCAAAAAGAAAAAGAGACUAAUUUUUAAAAAGUAUAUGCAAAAAUAGGGAUUGAUGAAACAACAUCAUUCUAUGCCAAAAUUCCAUAUAAAAGUUUUCGUGUCCUCUUCUUUCUCAAAACAUAUUCCAGUAUCUCUACGAAUCUUGUUCUAAAGAGCAUUCUAAAAAAUAAAAUAUAUCACGAUAGCGAACAUUCUUUGAGACCUAGGAGACAUUUGGAUGAUAUAAAGCUAGAAGAAUAAUGCAUGUCGAGACCAGUUUAUGCGCAUUAUUUAGUAUGUCUUAGGUUGCGGGCCUUAGCUAUCCCUGUCUCAUCUUUCAAAGCUGAAUAGUUUAACAUGAUUACACACUCAUGUUUUUGUUCAAUCUUCUUUUUAUUUGGUAGGGUCCCAAGAAAUUAAAGUUAGGACACAGAAACCAAUUGCUGUCUAUUCUAAUCUUGGGCAUGGUUAAUAAUAAGCCACCAAAAUCGUCCAAACAAUCAUAAGAUGUUUGACAUAAGCUGAAAUGACUUGAGUCCCAUGACACAUGUAUGGAAUAAUUCUUUGCAGUCUUGACUCUUGGCAUGUGCUAACCAAAGGUACAAAAACCAAAAAAAAAAAAAAAGCCUUGAGACAGAACUAAUGUCUGAAAUGGAAAGCACUAGUGAAUUCCCUUGAAGACUUUCUUCUAUCUUCCAUCAACUCAUUGCGUAUUUGAAACUUCCACCCCACCACCAACUUGUGAGGUGCACCAAUCUUCAUCUCCUAAGCAGAAAUGGUUCACCAUGCAAUGAUGCACUGAAUUAAUCCAAGGACAUUACAGUCAUCUCAAUAUUCACAAAAAAAAAAGAAAGAAAUAAAAAAACUUAUGUUCAAUCGCUUUAUAAGCAACAGAAAAUGAAAAAAAAUCUUGUAUUUAAUUUCUUCAUGAGUGGAAUAUGAUCCAACACCACAGCAUUUAAUUCUAUCCCAUGAUCAUCUUCACCAGCACCUGUCCCACUGUCCUGGCCGGACUGUUUAAAAGCUCGGGCUCUUGAGGAAUGGAAGGAGAACUUGGAGCUUGUGAGCGGUUUUUGGUUGUUUGACCGUGGCCAUUUUUGUCCACUCAAGCAUAACAAAAAAGCUUUGUCAUUUUAUUUUCUUNNNNNNNNNNNNNNNNNNNNNNNNNNNNNNNNNNNNNNNNNNNNNNNNNNNNNNNNNNNNNNNNNNNNNNNNNNNNNNNNNNNNNNNNNNNNNNNNNNNNNNNNNNNNNNNNNNNNNNNNNNNNNNNNNNNNNNNNNNNNNNNNNNNNNNNNNNNNNNNNNNNNNNNNNNNNNNNNNNNNNNNNNNNNNNNNNNNNNNNNNNNNNNNNNNNNNNNNNNNNNNNNNNNNNNNNNNNNNNNNNNNNNNNNNNNNNNNNNNNNNNNNNNNNNNNNNNNNNNNNNNNNNNNNNNNNNNNNNNNNNNNNNNNNNNNNNNNNNNNNNNNNNNNNNNNNNNNNNNNNNNNNNNNNNNNNNNNNNNNNNNNNNNNNNNNNNNNNNNNNNUCUCUCUCUCUCUCUCUCACUCACUCACUUCUUCCAUCCCUUGGUGAUUUUCUUUGUUCAUGCCCCUGCCUCCAACUCUUAAGUUCUUAUCAUACCUUCAUCUUGCCAUGGAAUUCAAUAUUGGACAAUUCAUCACAUAUCACCUCUAAGUCACAGGUGGGAUACCAUGGUUUCCUUGUGGUAAUCUCCAUGCCAUUCUCUUCAUAUCCUCUGUCUUUAGAAGAACAGUUCAGUUCCGGUUAACCUCUGCAGCCAGUCUCCAUACUCCGUUUGUUUUGCUUUCAAGAGUUUAAUGGAGAGAGAGAGAGAGUGGGGGAAAGGUGGGUACGUUUUGUCUUAGGUUCUUCAGCGUUCGGCGUCGUUGCACGGCUCCAACCUUCACAUGGAGUUGUUCUGCUUCCGUUCUUAUGUUGUACUUUGAGACAAUGAAAUGAGCAUUCGAAGACCAGGUCCUUGGGCACUGUUCAAGAAGUUGUUGUUUUCCUCAUGACUGGAAAAAGUUUACCCCCCAACACCCGCACAAGAGACUUCUUAGGUUAGGUGUCUUUGGGUCUUAAGACUCUGGAUCUUGCUGAACCCUCAAAGGACAAGAUCAAGCACCGGGUCUACAAUUUACAAAGACUUUUAUUCUCAUUCCAAUUCCAUAGCGCCUUUCUUAUUCUUCCCCUUGCAUAGAGUUUUUGCAAGCAAAAGACCCAGCGCUCUUCUUCCAUGUGUUUCCCAUUCUGUUUGCGAGGCUCAUGAAUCUUACAAGGCUUACAAGUAUCUAGUCUUCUUAUCUAUCUUCCUCCUCCGUUCGGUUUUUAAGGUUGGGAAUAGUUUGGAGAGUAUCCAUAUAAGGUUCUCUAGAAUCUCAGAGCUUCCAAUUUUCCAGUGUCUUUCUGCCAAAACCGAAGAAAAUGGGCAAGUGGGUUCAUUAUUAGUUUAUUUAGAGUCCCAAGAAUCUCAGACCCUAGUCGCAGCUGAUAUUUUUCUCAUUGGAGUGGUCUAAUUCUCUCUGUCCUUGACCUUUUCCUUUUGGUGUCCAGGCCAUAAAAGAGCAGUAAAAAAAAAUAAGAAUUAGCACAGAGAGAGAGAGAGAGAGUAAGAAAGAAUGGAUCUUUCUGGCCAUGAAGGGGAGAUCCCAAUCCCAAUAAGCAGCACAUAUGUUGGAGGCCAUGGUCAGAGCCAUGGCCACUCCAUCAUCCAUGAUGCCCCUCCCCUCCACCACCACCCUCCUAAUGGACCUCCCCCUCCCCUGUCCGCAGCCACAUCGGAGGAGCAGCAGCGCCACCCUGGCAACCCCUACAGCACUAAGAAAGGAGUGGUGGUGAGGUACAGGGAGUGCCUCAAGAACCAUGCAGCCUCCAUUGGUGGCAGCGCCACUGAUGGCUGUGGUGAGUUCAUGCCAAGUGGUGAGGAGGGCACGCUGGAGGCCUUGAAGUGUUCUGCCUGCAACUGCCACAGGAACUUCCACAGGAAAGAGGUAGAAGGGGAGUCCUCCUCCUGUGACUGCUUCCACUACCUCAAGGGGAGGAAGGUGGUGGGCCAGAAGGGGCUCUUGAUCUCAGGACCAGAGGCAUUUGGCUAUGCUCCUGCCGGCAACAGUCUCAUUCCAAGGGCAUCACCACACCAUAUGAUCAUGCCCCUGGGAGCCCUGCAGACCUCUGAAUCUGAUGAUAUGGAAGGGUUCGGUGGUGGGGCCAUGGUGAGGCCUCCCAUGGUGAAGAAGAGGUUCAGGACCAAGUUCACACCAGAGCAGAAGGAGAAGAUGCUGAGCUUUGCUGAGAAGGUGGGGUGGAGGCUCCAGAAGCAGGAGGAGAGUGUGGUGCAGCAGUUCUGCCAGGAGAUUGGAGUGAAGAGGAGGGUCCUCAAGGUGUGGAUGCACAACAACAAGCAUAACUUGGCUAAGAAGAGCCCCCCUCUCCAGCUUGAAUGACUACUGAUUCCACUCCCUCUCUUGGUUUUCCCCUGACUCUUUUUAAGUUUGAUGGUUUUCCAAUGGCCCAUGCUGAUUCUAGAGGUGGAUUUAGAUGGUAGAAUGUUGUGACAGACUAUCCUUUCUUGUGUUACUCUUUCAGAUUUUUAUCUCUCUUGUCAGUUCUCCAUUGGCAAGGCGAUGUAGCUUAUGGAGUUUGGUAGACAUGAACCAUGGGCUCUUUUUUUCUUCUGUUAGUGGCUAUGAAACUUAGACAUUGGUCAUUUCAGUAUUUCACUAUGAAUCGCGCAUGGUACUUUCAUGGACUUUCUACAGCUGAUGAGGAAGAAGCCCCUUGAUGAACUGCUGUUUGUUUUAGUCCCUCUAUUUUCUUUCAAACGAGGUUCCUCUGAAUCCAUGAGAAGAUAAAUUGCAAUUUCAUUUGGAGUGUGGGAGUCUUCCAACUUCCUUUCUUCUUAUAACUCUGGAGUUAAUAGGCUGUGCCUUGUCUCUCUUUGUAUGCUAGCUAGAAUUUUAGAAAUGUUUUGAGUCCAUCUGGAAUUUCUCUUCAAAUUACUUGUUUGCUGUCUUGUAUUGUUAGACAUCUUUUUAUUAUGUACGUGACAAGGUUUCUUGCAGUCAUUCUAAUCGUUUCUCCUUUCAAAUACUACAUGAAUGAACGGUCAAAUGUAGGCAGUUUUCUACAUUUUAUUAGAGAACAAGCAAAAGAGCAAGAGGACAUUGAACAGCACUAAUGUUCUAAAAAUGCACUCCCACCUACCAACUCCCCCUCACCCCAAAAAAAAGGAGGACACAAAAGAAGGUAAAGCUUAAUGCAUGAGAAAGUUUUAGCCGUUAAUUAUGUGGAACUUGUCUAUAUAAUUUUAUACAUAGAGUAAUGUAAGCAACUCUGACUCAAGUUCUUAGUAACUACUUCAAGCUUAUGCUCGUCACAACCAAGAGAGUGGCCGGGGAAAUGGAACUGGUCAUUGGCAUGACAAAGAACAAAGCUCUGGAAUAUGGUAGCAGUAUAGACAUGGAGGAUUUACUAAAACUCAUGACAAUGAAGCAAGAGAGCUAGUAUUACAUGUUUUCAACUAUAUAUUACUUUUCCUAAAGUAUAAGACAAAAAAAGGAAAGUUGGUUAAUAUUAAAAAUCUUCAUCAAAGUAUGAAGAUCAGAAAAGCAUGGUCGACUGCAAGCAUAAAUUUCCAUGCUAAUUUCUCCUGCUCUGUCUUCCCUCAGAAAGCAAGGGAUGUAUUUACCCUGAGAAUUUGGUAAGGUAUUCUCAUCAAGGAAAGAGAAGAUAGAUAUCUUUAUGAAGAACAGUAUCUGCAAAAGGAUAGAAAUGGUCGAUGGUUACGAGUAAUGAUUCAACGUACCAGCCAUGUCUUUCAGAGCAACUAAGGUUGCCAUCUUUGUUCCUCAAAGUGUCUUCAAUUCCUAUCAAGGUGGAAAGAGCCUCAUGACUGGAUUUUAUCAGAGGCAUGUGGGAUGUGAUUGCUGCCAAGGCAAGCCUGCACAGUCCUGCAUGUUCUGCCAUACGAGGCUUCUGGUUGGCUAGAGGAAGCAAGGAACCAAGAAGCCAACUACCAUGCAAUACUUGUUCAUUGAGAGGCUAGUAAUUUGUUCAGACCAUCUCAUGUUCCUCUGCCUUUUGACUGAGACUACAAAGUAGAAAUAUCACCUACUUAGUUCAAACAAGCAAGCUUUGAUGCUUUUCUUUUAUUGCAGCGAUAAUGGAUGCGAUUUGCUUAAUUCGCUGCGACUUGAUGGCAGAUCAUCUAAUAUUCCUUCUACUGAGCUAGUUCUUCGCAUUAACGAGUCGAUAAAGAUUUAUUCACGAUGCUAAUGGCACGAUUUGGUUCACUAACAUCAGAUGGGAUUUUUUUUUUUUCUCAUUGUCAAUUCAUGCUCAUGCAACUCUCUCCGGCUACAAAGAAUCAAUUAAUUGUAUAGAGGCCACCUAGCUCUCUAGAUAGUCCUCUCCUCCCAUGAUCUGGGAAUAGACAGUAGCAGUUUGGACUGGCUCACAAGCAAGUACAGGGGCCCAUGGCCUUGGUGAAUGGUACGAGAAACCCUCCGCAUCCAUUUAAUGGCAUUUACAACAAAGGUUGGAGACACUGAUGGAUGCCACAAGAGCACAAUCCAAAACCAGCAUGUUUUUCUUUUCAGCUGCUACUCUAAUUUGAAAUCUAUGUACAACUUAACUGUGAGCAAGGCUUGAUGUUGUUCUUGCCAACAUGGGAUGACCCUAAGGAUUAAAGACUAGAAAUCCUGUCUAAAAUUUGAGUGGUCAGUGAUUUCGUAAUUCACACUAAAAAACUUGUGUAUUCAGUAGAAGGCAAAUGAAGGUUUCUAUCCAGGUUGUACAGAGUUAUGACCCUAAAAAGCGAAAACAAGGAUGUUACGUAAUGGUUUUACAAUAGAUUUGGGAUCCCCUGCAGUGCGCCGCUGAAGGGUGCUAUACUAUGUUGGAUGGCCGCCAUCAGGAGAUGAACGGCUAUCAACAACAGCAUCCCGUGUGUGGCAUGUAAAGCCAUCUUCUAUGAUAGCCAUCAAUCUUCUAAUUACAGCCAUCGAGCAUGGUACAACACUUUAUGGUGCAGUCCGUGCAUCAUAAAGGAUCCAUGCUCUUUACUAUAUGCUUUUGUUUUUGGUACUUUCUCAUUCAGUAGGAAGUUGGGAGCAUUUUCAUGAAAAUUGAAAGUUGUGGUCAUAAUAUUUUUAUUUCAGAUAUUUUCAGGAUAAUAAUCUGAUGGUUGAUUGCACCUCUUGAGUUGUUGCACAAUAGGGAUUAAUAACAGCUCACACAGGAGGAAAUUGGUGUUUCUACGAGGAGAUAUAUGUUUACUGCUGUUUUCACUUUUCUAAUGCAUCUACAUUGAAUACAAAUUGAUGCGACGAAAUAAUAAAUAACUAAAUCUUAUAAAAGAAAUUUCUAUAAAGUGAUUCACUGUUGUUAAGCAUGAUAUAUAUUAUUGACCUUUUCACUAUCAGCUUGAGCUUUUGGGAUUAAUUGAUUGCUUAGCAUGGUAUUAAAGCUCAAGUUUGCCAGAGGUUGCCGGUGUAAAUCCCUCGUGCUCAACAGUUAGUUUUCAAUCUAUGAAACACAGUUCAUGCGAUCAAGCGACAUUUGCCUCACAUAUCAUCGAAAAGAAACUAUUAUUUUACAUCUCCAUUAACUCUAUAACAUGCUCCUUUUAUAGCUUUGAUAAUGCCAACACAGUAUAUAUAUGGUCAUGAGACAUAUUUGUCUCACGUAUCAUCUAGAAGAAACUAUAUGUUUAUGGAUCUAUUAACUCUCGGCGCAUGCUUCUUUUAUAGGUUUAAUAAUGCUAAAGAUUGGCAUACCAAACACUUCAAGCCAAUAUUGUUAUAAUUCUUAGAGAGAGAGAGAGAGAGAGAGAGAGGGAGGGAGACUCAUCGGUAUUAUAAUUAACCAAACUUCAAAGUUGUGGGAUGCACUACUCAAGAUUCAAACAUGGAGUCAUUAACACAAGGCCCAAUAUAUAAAGAACUUGAUAUGGUCACUUUGUAAGAAAUGCAUGGCCACUAUUUCAGUGGUUGGUUACUUAUCAUUCAUACUCAUAAACAUCAAGUUAAUUUAAGAUCCAGUUGAAUCAAGCCAAGUUCAUUAAGUCUCACUUGAUUUGCUAACAACUUCUCUUACCAAUAUAUUAUAUUGGCAUCAUUUACCAGUAUCCUAGAAACAUAAAUUUAUUGAACAAAAUAUGUAUAUAUACAGGAACAAGAUAAAAGAGAGAACAUUGCAAAUCAAACUGAUACUGGGAACCUUUGCUUCCCACCAAAUUCUCAGAUUUUUUUUUUUAAAAAAAAGAAAGGAUGAAAGGGGAAAAGAAGAAGAGGAGGAGGAAGCAAGCAAAAACUUGAAAGUUAACUCAAUUUCCCUAAAUCACAGAGACCUGGUGAGCAUACUUAGAGGAAUCAUAAACUCAGUUGCCAGGGUGCCAUCCAAACAUUUAUUUGGAUGGUCAGGUACACCAGCCAUUGGAUAUCACACCAGAAUAUCUUUACUUUUCAGAAAACAAUAAUAUAUCUUGGGACACAUCCAAGGUCAGCAAAUUCUACCUUCACACUUAACCUCAAAACUUUUCUCAAUUCUUUUUUCUUCUUUGGAAAGGAAAUAUUGCACUCUAACAGGUUGGGACCAUUGGCAUGUGAUGUUUCUUUCCAAAGUCAUAAUCUUUUUGUAUUUAUUUUCCAAAUUUUUUCAGUCUAGCUUUCUUGACCCAAGCAAUUGCAAAUUGCAAGCCCUGGGGAAGAAAGUUACCACAGAGUUACCUUCACAGCAACCAAUGUCAGCACUGGACACCCAUCAGACGACAGAUGUAGGGCCUGCAUCCAGUGUCAUGAUGGAGACUGCUGCGCCACACCUAAUAAAUUGUAGACCUUGGUAUUGGACUAUAGAUACAUAGAAUACCAAUAAAUCAUCUACUAAGUCAUUAGGCAACUAUUAGUGUCAUCAUUACAUGCCCUGUUUAGUGGUAGAGACAAACUUAAGUUGGGCACAUGUGCACCUAAGGGCUGCUCUAAUAUUAGCAUACUAUAUGAUCGAUUGUAAAACAGGAGAAUGUAGAAUAUAUGAUUGUCUUAGGGCUGUUCUUCAUAGGCUUAGGGGUGUUCAUUAUAAUAAGGGUUGGGAUUAUAGGUAAACAAUAGGGAUUAAAUGGUGUUUCCAUGAUCUGCACUAGUUUAUAACAGUCUGCACUUGAUUCCCCCUAAUAUCUUAAGGCAACUAGGUGGCUGGUGGAACUGAUGGUCUUAGUUGAAGGGGAAAAGAAAAGGUAUCUAUGCUUACAGUAGAAAUACCUAGCAACUUUAUAUAUUGUACCUAAAAUAGUUUGACAUUAGUACUAUACAUUAUUAAGAAAUAUGUAUAUGCUAAGUUUUAUGUCUCAGAUUUCUUAUAUGAAACGAUCCUUUUAAAUCAUCUCAGGAUAAUGGACCAUUAAAUUCUUCCUGAUUUUAUAUAAAUUAUUUACAAAUAGAUUGAAUUAUUGUUGUUGGUUUUAAACAGAGUGGAACAGAGGAAAAGGAUUCAUGUAGCCAACUGCAACUAGUUUGGAAUUAAGGCUUAGUUGAGUUGAGCCGAGUUGUAUCCAAUUGUUGUUGUGUUUUGUUGCCUCUGUCUCCUCCAUGCUUUUAUGUCAUUUGCUUCUAGCUCUAUAUAUUCAAUAAUUGUACAUCCUAUUACAUUUACAUAUUAUUUACAUAUGGUUUAGAUACAUCCACAAAUUGUGACAGAUUUUUCACUUGCCAAGUCAUCCCAAAUAUAAAAUUGGGACACUAUAGAUAUGAUAUGCAAACAUAGUUUCCAGGCUGGGAAUUCUGAAGCAGUUUUAAAACCAAAUGUGAAGAAUGAUUCACGUAACAGCACUGCAUUUUGAGUAUAUAAACACGCAGUGUUCUUACCCGAAAAAAGAUAUUCUAGCAAUAAUACAUGCAACCAAGACUAUUCUCAAUUUACUUUUACGUGAAUCAUCUCAAUGUACUUGUUCGCACUUCAGUUCAAGAUAAACUCAAUUAUUGCUAAUAUCCACUGAUAUCUAUGAUUUGUUAUAAUAUCUAGGUUUCUUCGUUUGAUCUUCCCCAUCUUUUAUUCUGUCAAAUUUUCCAUUAACAUUUAUGGCCUCUUGUGCCAGGUUUUUGUUAUAUAUGAUUGCUUCAUACUACUAAGAUCAACUAUAGACAAUUUAAGGACUCUUAUGUUCUCAAAUCCUCCUACCGGUCGUUUACUUCUAUUCAAAUUCCAACUUAAAAACUAUGCUGUGGUGUUUUGACCAUCGACAAUUUCUGCCAGGAAGAGGACGAUACCUUUUUAUGUUCAGAUACAGAUAAAUGGUGACAGAAAGAGCUAUGGACAUGGGCAUGCAAACAGGCAAGGGGUAAGACCUUGAACAAAAAUUGAUGAACAGAGUAUGAUAUCCUGACAGCUAUCUUGUUCAAUGAUCUCAUUGCAGCAUCAGGCCAUGGCAGCACGCCUUCACCAGACCACUUAAAUCCCCACAGUAAAUACUUUAUGGUAUGGUUGGCCCUCGGCAGGUUUAGGUAAGGGGUCAUCACGAGUGGAUAUAGCAUGGCAGUAAGGUAAGUCAUCUAUAAACAGUACAGUUACUAGAACAAGUGGCAAUUUUGGACAAAGGAAGAAGGAACAACUUCACUUGGUAGAAUUUUGAUUAGAGAGGAAAAGGAGUGGUUGACCAUGAAUUAGGCAAGCUAUUCCGGGUAACCAUGCAAGAUAGAUAAGGCCAUCGAUGUUUGUCAGGAAUUCGAGGGCCCUGAAAUCAACCCAUCAAGGCAAUUAUUAGUUAUUCAAGCUAACGUCUCAAGUUUCAGACUGGUAGUGAUUGCUCUCAUGGUGCAAACCCAAUUAUCACAACAGGCACUGUUGCCCAAUUCAUCUAUAGCAUAGUUCCUGGAUUUGAAGCAGAUGAACCUAUGAAUGGAAGCAAAUUAGAAGUUCGCAAUAGUGCAUGUUCGUUUUGUUGGCUAAGCCAGUCGAUGCAUUAAAACAGAAGCACAUGAGACAGUGAAAUGUCUAGUUUCACCGUAAACAAUCUUAUCACGCUGCGAGCGCAGUAUCCUGUUUAGGAUAUCCCUAAAUAAGUAAACGCCCCCGUUCAGAAGACGUGUGGCAACGGAAGGCCAAUUGGAGUGAGUUGUGAAGAGAUCGUUUUCCAGCCAAAUCGACAAAAUCUUGAAGUGAUCGACGAUCAAGAAUGUCAUGUUCCGGAUUUUUAUUGCCACAUAGAAGCCAAGCUUCAUGGGCCUUGUUCGUGGCAUGUGUUUUUUCAGACUGGAUGUUCCUAGUAUGGGUUAUCCAACCUAGAGUUGUGUCAUGUCCGUAUUGACCAUGACAUGCUGUGCUUCUCUGUCGGGAAACCUAGCGUCAUUUACCCAAAACAAGAGGAGUUAUACGUACUGCGAGAGCAAUCACGUAAAGAGAGCCGCCAGAAAAAGGUGAAAGGUGAGGCUCAGGAUAAAACUUUAUCAUCAGGCACUCGAAGCAAUUUUCCUGAACAGGGUUCUAAUUACUGGUCCCAAUUGUGAAGGCCCUAACGACUGAUGGAUUUCUCAGCUCUGAUUGCAAACUAAAGAUCCUUGCACGGAAGAUCAAGCUUUUGUAUUUGCAUUCUUCCAUAGCCUCUGAUAGAAGUCUAUCACUAACCAAUACUCUAACCAAUACUUGUGCAUGAAUGGAACAGUAAAGGCUACAGAUCAAAAGAAUCACCAGAUAUUUGAAUAUUAAUCUGGAAUAGUUCAUAAUAUAGUGGCAACAGGAAAGUCUACAAACAAAGAAAAUAAAGAUAUCAAACCUGUAAUUAAGUAUGGACUACUGACAACCAUGGUAAGAUGGCUAACCUGCAAACCAAGUUAUGAAAAAGGUACAUACACGGAUAACUUCAGUACUGUUGGGAAGCUCUAACAGCUCCCAUAACAUAUCACAAAACAUACCACUUAAUAACUUGCAGCUAAAAAGGCUUCUAUUAUGAACUCAUAGUUUCCUGAGUACUAAAUAUAGUAUUAGUACAAAAUCUUCUAAAGAGAAAAGAUAAAAACUGAAAAGUCAGGAAGGGAAGGGCUCACAAAAAUUGUGUUAGGUGAGGCUGUGGAGGUAGGAAUGUAUCAACUCAUAAGUUCAUAAUGACAUUUUACAUCUUCCAACAGCAGUUUGUUUCCAAGCCGAACACGGAUGAAUUUCUUGCCGCUUGCUGUUCAGAAAGAUCUAGAGCUAGGAACGGAAUUUGAGGUUAGGGUGUCUAGAUACAAUGUGAAGAAAUGGAACAAUAUCUGGAGUAGUCGUGACUGUCAUCUCAGUUGAAGUGCCAGUUUCAAGUGCAGAUUGCCAGUUCCACUUGCGAUUGUGAUAUCUAAAGCAUGAGCUGUCUCAGAUUGCUAUUUUUAUGCAUGAUAACCAUAGCAUUACUCUUCUUUUAGCCCACAUAGCCGAGCUCUCCCAGGAUUAAGCAAUGACUCCGACAUAAUCCAUCCCUUUAAAAAAAAAGGAAAUCCACAUUGUGAGAAUAGGUUAAAAACAUUUUCAGACAACUGAGUCUGGAGAUUGAAAUAGAAAUAAGAGGAAAGCUGAAGAUUAACAAAUGUUAUAUUGCAGUAUUCAGAGCCAUAAAUGGACCAAGCAGUGGAUUGGGAUUGAUGGACCAGCAAUAGCAACAAAAAUGCUUGAUCUGUAUGACCUGAUCUCUCAUCCAGGUCACCAUGUAUUACUAUACCUGAGAAUAGGCAGAGGCUGAUGAUCCAUUUUAAAUCUAUCUAAGUGGUCAUGAGAGAAACAUUGUAUAACUGCUGGACAACGAGCUCUUUGAAAAAGCAAAAAGGAUGCUUACCCCAAAAAAAGGCAAAAAAGGAUCAUAUCAGAAACAAACCGUUAAACAGUUAAACAUACUCCCAUUAUUUGAUAAAUACAGUCCCUGUCGUUUGUGUGUUUCUGAGGUACAUACCUAUAGAACCGAGGAUAAUGGAAGCAUAUCUAGUGGAACCCCCUUUUUCGGGGAAAGGGUAGCAGUUGUCAAACCAUUGCUUUUAUAAGUUAUGACAAAUUAUUGUAAGUCAACUUACAUCCUAAAUUGAAAGAAGUUCCCCAUUGAACAACCAAAGAACCACAAAAAUCACAUACUUGUAAUUGCAUGACAGAUUAUUUGAUUGACCAUACCUUUUAGGUUGCCUGUGGAAGAUAUAAAGAUGAUUGAACCAAGGUUCUUUAAACACCCAGUUAAAGGGAAAAAUAGUAUUCUAAAAGAUGGCUGCAUCAUGUAGGCAUGUAGGGAGCCACAUAGUGAUUAGGAGUGCAGGGAUUUAGGGGGCUACCGAGGCAAAUGAUCAUAAAAAUAUUUAAUAUUAACUCGAGUUAUUAAUAUAAAAAAUUAGAUAUAAACGAAAAUUUUAAGAGAAACAGUGUAUAUCAAGGGAACACUAGUACGUUAUUUAGGGACCUAACUCUGCAUAGUGUGGCAUGUUAACUAGUAAACUAGCAAUUAUUCCUACAAGUUGCACAAUAUUUCUGAUCAAAAAAGCAUGCUCAAAACUUGAGUUAGUGCAACAAGUAAUUCUAUUACAAAAUAAAUAAUCAAUAAAGUUAGAAAAGAGACAACUAAUUAAGAAUUAAUGAAAACUGCAAGUAAGGUGUUAGGAGAGCUGCCCAUGCUAAGGAGAGCUGCUAGGGUGCUCACUUGGAGGCAAAGACACAUGAGGUCAACCUAGGUGGCUAGCAACUAAGCCUAGGCAGCCUUUAUAGUUAACUAAAAUAGCUGUCUUUAAAACAUGCCAAAAAUGCAUAUACUUCCUUUUUCUUUUUAUGGAGCACUCAAUUACAUCCGACAUGACCCUAUCUGGAACAUUGGUCUUGCACAAGCGACGCGCAAGAAUGCGUGCGCGCGCACCCACACACACAAAGAGAGAGAGGGGGAGGAGAGAGAGAGAGAGAGGCAUCACAUGUCCACAAAAAUGAGAGGGAGGGUAGAAAUUAGAUUCAUUAGUUGAUCAUGAACUAAAGCUCCAAGUGGCAGAGCCACAACCAACUCAGUCCAAGUAUCAAAUGCAGUUAUACCUAAUAUAUCUUGAGGUUCAUAAUAAUUACCUGUCAGCCACUAUUUCAAAGCUGAACAUUUUUUUGAAAAAAAAGCAGUUGCUACAUGUCAAUGAAUGCAUCUACAGAUAUAUGAAACAUAGAUUGAUUUAUCUUCCAUAUAUAGUCUUAGAUUAUAUUUCACGAAUAUUUAUACAUUUUCCAUAUUUCUGCUAAUAAUUAUUGAACAUUCGAACAUUGUAUUGUUAACAAUAUCAUAAGCUUAUCAUCCUAAACAAAAUCAUCAAGUUCCUCAGGGUCAAAUCCUGUAAAAAUCAAUAGCACUUUCACGGUUCAUCCCAUGGUUUACACUAAAAAACUAAUAUAGCAUUUCCUUUUGUUACUUCUGCAAUUUAUCAUUUUCUUUUUGUUCCCUUAUGAAACUAAGGGAACAGGCAUAUCCAGUAAAUUUUUGAAGUGACCACGUGAUUCCAUUUUUAGACAAUUAAACCGCAUGAUUUUCACCAAGUAUUCCUGAUCACGUUACAUACCUUUUUCUUUAUGUGCAUCAAUGCAUAGACCAACAGGAGCAUAACAGUAUAUAACAUAACACUGCAGGAAUUGUGCAUAUAAGAUGAAUGCUAAUGUGUAUAAGCAACAUCAAAAUCUUAAAUUCACCGACAUGUUACCUGUUCUGCUGCUUUCUUCUUGAAGUCUCCAUACAACAAUGAAACAACUUGCAGGAUUCUGCAAUAUGAGUCUCGAAGUCUAGAGCUGUAGGCAUUGCACAGUUGCGUAAGGAUUCUGUGAAACCGAUGUGUUUUCUUGAAGACUGGUUCACAUUUGAUGAACGGAUAAAAUGCAGAAGCACAUGAGCCUGUAAUAUCAGAUAUAUAUGAAUAAUAUCAGACAUAUAGAAAUCUCAUACAAUAACUUAUGCUCGAAAGAAUUGACGCUUACAUGGAAAGCUGCUUUCAAAAUGUCAUCAGACUUUGCUUCAUCCUUGAGUAAUGCAUAAAUAUUACCCUUUGAAGGAUUGUAGGUAACUAUGUAUCUUUCUUCCUGUCAAUAAAGAUUAAAAGAUGAUAUAUUACCCAAAAAAUAAUUACAAAAAAAAGACAAUCUGAAUGUGAGAGACACAGUUUUCAAGACAUGAAAACAUCAUGAAGCCGGAUCACAGUGGUAGCAAAAGGAAGACGGCUAUUUCAAGGUGUAAAUCUAAAAAUUGUAAAAUUUCAGAGAUAAACGAGCGUCAUAUAAGAUCUGGACAGUUAUACUUCAUCUGACAUAAUAAACAGGAACCAAAAGCAACAUUGGAAAAGGCAGUCUGAGAUAAUACCUUGAACAAGGAUUCUAUGGCAAGAAAUGAACGAGGUUCCUGAAAUGCAUCCCAAAGUCUUGGGCCUACAAAAAUUUUAAAGGGGAGCAUAUGUGAGCCUAGAACGCUAAGCAUGCAAAAACAUGUAACAUUAAAGUUACAGACCUAGAAAAAUGGGUGCAUGUUUUGCCCAUGGAGGAUUGAAUAUAUUCUCCUUGGAAUUUCCUUCCUUCAAGGAAGGGACAUGCCCUACAAAACAGAAGGAUGAACAAAUCAGUCAAGUUAGUAAGGAGUCAGUCACUCUAACAAGAAGAUAACUUCAUACUUGACAGAUUAAGGCAUUUGAUGAAUAAUUCUUUAUCUUGGAUGAAAUAUAUGCUAGGAAGGAUAACAACUACACUACCCAAUGGUGCUAUGAUCAAUUUGUUAAAUUAGAGAUGAUGCUUCCCUAAUAAAUGAAGGAAAAGUAAGCUCCCAAUAUGAUUGCGUAGCAAGUAUGUUAAAAAAUUAAUUGAAAAGCUUGGAACUGGCAAUUUAACAGCUAUACAUUGUGGAGAGCUGGUGAAUAGCAGUAUAAGCAGCAAGCAGCAUAGCUGGCAAAGCUAGAAUCAUGCAUGCAUAUGCAUGCAUGUCUUUAUGUAUGUAUUUAUGAAAUGGAAAUACGUCCAGUCAGAUAAAAUGCAUAUGAUGAUUUACACGUACAGAAAUGUAUACAAGGGCAACCAACUUAAAUAAUAAAAAAAAAUUAUUUUAAAAUUUAAGCCAUUUAGAUGCGUUAUUAUGUAAAUUAGAUCAUUGCAUUUGCCUCUUAGAAACUCAACCUACCACUCUUCAGGAAAGACUCCACUGCCACAGUAAAUCUCGCUCUGUUUAAAGUGUUCAGUACAAUAGAUUUCACCUGGCAAAGAACCAUAAGGUGAAAGGUUUUUUUAAAACUUAAGCUGCAGAUGUAAAAAUGCAAGAGCUGACUACAAAAGAGAGACAAACCUCUUGAUAAGAGCUGAGAACAUAUCCACAAGAGAGGAAGGCAAAAGAAGCCACCAGUGACGGAUUUCUCUUUGAAAAUAAGAUACUGAGUCCAGUUCCCAACUUUGCAUGACAGAAAGUUCAAGAAAUCACUACAACAGCUACAACUAAGUAGUGUAUGCUAAUAAUCAGCAAAUUAAAUAAUAUUCAAUUGCAAACAAAGUGUAUAAUGCUCUGCAAAGGAGCAUGCAGUUUUAUUGAUAACAUCAUUAAGGACAUGUUUGGAAUUGCUAUUAGCAGUAGAGCUUUCGGAAAGUAGAACUUUUAGAAAUAGUGUUUUUAUUAAAAACUAUUUGCUAUUCGGUAACUACAUUUUUAAAGUACUGUAAAACUUUAAUAUAUGUUCAUUAACCAAAAUAAGAAAGUACUUUUGGUAUGAUAAAAUGACAAUAAAGAAUAUUGCAUAGUAUUGCAUAUUGAAGUAUAAUACAAUAUAAUAUUAUAUAUUAUUAUAUAUUAAAAUAUUAUUAUUUUAUAUAAUAUUAUUAUAAUAUAGUGUAAUAUAAUAUUGAAUACUUAAACAUAAUAAUAUAACAUAAUAUGAUAUGACAUGAUAUGGUAAUGUAUUAUUAAUAGAACAUAUUACUACAAUGUAAUAUAACAUUAUUACAAUUAUAACAUAAUAUAUAAUAUAAUAUAAUAAUAUUGUAAUAUAAUACAGCAAUAUAAUAUAAUAUAACAGAUUAGAAAUAAUCUAUUAAGAAUAUAAUCUAAUAAUAGAUUAUAUUAUGGUAUUAUUAAACAUUAUUAUAAAUACUUAAUAAUAAUAUCAUAUUAUUAUAAUAUAAUCAUAUAAUAGAAUAUAAUAUAACGUAAUAUAAUCUGAUAUAUUAUCAUUUAUAUUAUUAAUCGUAUAUUAUAAUAUUAUUAUAAUAAUAAUAUCGUAUAUUAUCAUAAUAUAACUAUUAUUAUAACAAUAAUAAUAUAAAAUUAUGAUUGUAAUAAUAUAUAUAUAUAUGUNNNNNNNNNNNNNNNNNNNNUUUAUAUAUACAGAUAUAUAUAUAUAUAUAUGUGUGUGUGUGUGUAUGUAUAUAUGUAUUAUACAUAGAUAUAUAUCUAUACCUAUACGUAGAUAUAUAUCUGUACAAAUAUAUUGAUAUAUAUAUCUAUGCACACGCGCGCGCGCACACACACACACACAUAUAUAUAUAUAUGCAUAGAUAUAUAUAAUACGUACGUAUAUAUCCGUAUAUGUAUAUAUAUACACAAAUAUAUAUAUAUAUAUGUACAUAUUUGUAGUUAUAUGUAGAUAUAUGUAUGUAUAUAUAUGUAUGUAUAUAUAUAUAUAUGUAUGUAUGUAUAUAUAUAUAUAUGUAUGUAUGUAUAUAUAUAUAUAUAUAUACACGUGUGUGUGUGCGCGCGCGUGUGCGCAUAUAUAGAUAUGUGUGUGUGUGUGUGUGUUGUAUACAUAUGUGUUUGUUAUAUAUCCAUAUCUUAUUUGUAAGAUUUCCAUUCAUUCAAAGGCUUGGCUAAAGAGUUAGAUAUCAUACAACAAGGUUAAUGAAUAAUGACGAAUUCUUACCAAUCAAAAAGCUUGAAAGUCAUGAAUGGAUGAUUAGGACUAAUCUUGCUCUCCUUGGUAGGAUGCUAAAAUCUCAUAUCUUAGAUCCACAGGAACUCAUUGAUCAAGGAGCAAAGAAGUUGAGUGUUUUCCAUGUAAUAUAGAAGUUCCCAAGGGAGCUUUAUUUUAAUGUGGUAAAUUUUAUCUCCGAAGUUCUUUAUAACUCCCCACUUCUCUCUCUAAUUUAUCUCUAAACUACAUAAAUAACUCCAGAUAUUCUAUGCCUAUAUCCAUCCAAAACUCUUACAUUUUCUCCAAUUAAAGUCUAGUCCCAUCAAAUAUACCUAUUAGAUCUAUCUGAGUGAGAAUUCAAAUAUUCUUUCCACAUCUUUGUCAUUCCACUAAUUAAAGAGAGACCUACCCACAAACUGUUGCUCACUUUUCUCUAACUCCCUCACCCACACAUAUAUCACCAGUCCUCAUACCCUCAUAAAAAGAAAGAACAAAGAAAGAUCCAAACUGAUCAUCAUCUAGAGAGAAAGGAAGGAGACUUCAUCUUCCACCAUGAUCCUACCUCCUCUUUCCUAUUAAAGCCCAUAAUAUUCCUCCAAUCAAGAAUCAACCCAUUACACAAACUACUACAUAACCAUAAAUCAAGCUCAACCUUUUAUCCUUGGCACUUUGAGAAUAUGGGAGAAUGUUAGAAUUUGCAUAAGUCAGGAAGUGGAAUCGUGCAGACUAAGAGGCACUUGCCUGUCAAAAGUCAUCAUAUAGAACAGGAACAGGAUCUUAAUUAUCAAUAAACUAUCAAACUAGUAGAACAUCCUCAUCUAUGAAAUAUAGCAUGUUCUUCAUUAGAUUUUGCAUUAUUGUUGUUUUCUGGGCUGACAUAUAGUGCUUUUCCUUAUCCCUCUAUUUCUAGUUCUCUUGCAUUAUGAAUAACAGUUCAUUUUUUACUGACAAAAAGACAUGCUUGCAUUAUUUUUAAGAUUAUCUCACUUCUACACUAUAAUUUUCACUUUAAGAAAAUUAUGACAAAAAGAGAUCCAAUUUUAAAUGUCAGCUACAAAAUGUAGCCAACAGUUCUGCCUUAGAAUUACCUAGAGAUAAUCAUCCUACUUCUAGCUUUUCAGGGUUGUGUGCCAUAUAAGCAUCAAAUGUGUUUAGGAAAAAGUACGGUUGAAAAGGCUAUGCAGAUAGCAUACCAGAUCUGCAAUAUUGCCAACACAUUCACCUUUAGCGGUGACAUCCCCAAUAUUUUCACCUUUUGCGUAUGCUUUGUAGAUCGGAGCACGUGUUGACGUUGAUGUCACAGCAGCAACAUUCUGCAUCAAUAUAAGGGGAGGAGGAUCAUAUUCAUAAAUAUCUUGAGGAUGUAAAAAUUCCACUUUAUAAAUUUUAUCAAUUCAAAAAAAACUAACUGCACAAACAAGCUAACCUUUGCCACAUUGGCUGCACAAGCCAAUGGUAGAAAAAGGUGUGGCACAGCAGCUGUUGCUAACUCUAUUCCAGCACCCAACUCCAUUAAGAGAUCACCCGAAAACCGAAGCUGAAACACAAUCCGAUUUAUAUUCAUCAAUAAGAUUUGCAAAUGAAAUCAGUCCCGAAUAGAAAAAAAAGGUGCUAAGAAACAUGUUUACUAAUAUAACCUGCUUUAGAUCAUAGUCAAAUUUUUUUCCUUGGCGUGCAAAAAGCAUUUUCCCAACACGUCCAGCCCCAUCCUGCAUUGUAUAAAAGGCAUUGUUAGAGUUUCUCAAGAAAAUAAGGGAUGCCUCAAUAUUUUUACACUAUUAGCUCUCUCUUUUUUUUCUUUUAUGCACAGAAGAAGGUGGUGCAGGCAAAAUUUGAAGAGAAAAGCAAGCACAAAAACCAUGAUAAUAACAGUAAGAGAUUGUUGAAGCUGGGUUCCCAACCUAUAGCCCAAUGGUUUCACCUCUUGUCCAUUUCAAGGAGGUUCUGCAUUCAAAAUUUCAACCAAGAAAGGAAGGUGCUUACCUAGCAGUUUGACCUGGGUAAUUCACAAUGAUUGGUGGUGGCCCCCUAUUUUCAAAAGAAGUAACAGAUUGAGACAAGGCAAAAAGAGAUACAAGGUUUUCAUUAAAGUGAUUUCUUCUCGUUUCCCCAUAUAUUUUAUGGUGUGUCAAACUCAAAAGUUACUACAGAAAGGAACUCCAUAGCCAAGGAUAUGUGGAACAGAUGGCAUGCCAUACAAUGAUUUUUUUUCCAGGGGCAAAAAAAAAAUUGUUUUGAAGCCACAUUCUUUCUUCUACAGUAUUUGAAGAUUGGCAGAACUAAUUCCCCCGGGACCCAGCCAACCACCCAGAUAAUUCCCCUUCAAAUAAAACUACAUAUCGCAAAACAUAAUUUUAUUCCCAUUACCAAGGGGACGAAAACAAAUUCAAAUAACACUAGGCACAUAUAGGACAAGCCUCACAUUGCAUGUCAUCUUGCAACAUCCUUUCAAGCAUGCACUUGCCAGUAAGAAAAAUAACCUUGUUAUUAUUACUUUUAACUAACUUUUGUAUAAAAAGAAAUUAUUGAACGAAUAUUCCAUAGAACCAAUAUCCUGAUUUGAACUACAUCAAAUUUAAGUAUAAUUACAAAAGUUGAAGAAGUAUCCAACAUCAAACCUAAGCAAGUAAUUUCGACUCAAAAAUAUCAAUAGCAAGACUAUAACAAAAGAUGACAUCGAUGCAGUUUCAAUCUCUACUUGAUGGCGGACUGUUUAAUAAGCAAUCUAGACGCAUUUCUCUUAGGUGCAAAUAUAGAAAUUAGAAAAUUUAUUUUAUUUAGGAAUUAAGGACUUUUAUUUUUGCAUGGACUCUACGACCAGCAUUUUAUGACUUCGAAUAUUUUAUUUCUAUGUGAACUCUUAUUAGGGUUUUGUGUUGUCUAUAUAAACCCAUUACUGUGUUCAUUGAGAAUAUAGUUUGUAUUAUUGAGAUUUGAGAAUACAGAAUAUUGUGUUGCCCUCUCCCUCUGCCUUCUUCUUCUCCUUCUUCUCUUUCCUCUUCUUCUUCUCAUCUCUCCUUCUUCUGUCCUGCAUCACUAUUAUUUUAACCAGAAAAACCUAUGUGACUGGACUUUUUAUUUUCAGGUUGCCCCUAUAUAUCAAAACUUUUAGAGCCCUAGUACCAGAAGUCUCCAUCGAUUUUAAAAUGUUGGAUUUAGGAGACAACUGAAUACUCCUUUUAAUAGCUACACUAAACAAAAGAUAUUGAAAUGACGAAGAAAAUGAACCUAUAAGAACGAUGAUUUCAUUUACAAAAAGAUAGUGGAGCUGCUCAAGUAAAUAACCAGACAAGAAAUUGAAUUUGAACAGAAAAACCAUGGAACCAGCUGUACUUAGGUUGUCCUUGCAUAUUUAUGGUCAGGAUUAUUAUUCUGGAAGUUCUACCCAUCCAAAUAAACUAAAAUUAUGGAUGUUCUGUAAAGCAAAUACUUUUUUCUUGGAAAAUUAGGGUACAACAAAACCGUCGUGAUUUAUGCUGGUCUUUACCUUAAGAAUCCAGUUAAUGGCAACAGCACCUGAAGUGGCUCUACUUUGGGAUACUCCAACCGAACUUAGAAGUGCCCGUGUUGUAAAAACACUCAUUGCUCCCCCAAAGAAAUGCUGAAAGGAGAUGAUUUUUAUUAGUACAUCAAGAGAAUGGUCAAUCUGAUAGCAGGUCAGAUGCAUACCUUUGUCCAUGAAUGUAGCACAAGCAUGCAGGAAUUAACUUAAAAAUCCGAUGUUCAAGUUAAAGAGAAAAGAAUACCUUCAAAGCUCUCCAUGUCAUGUAUGGCACAUAAGAAGGUGUAACACUAUCUGGAAAGCCUUCCGGUACAACAUAGGAUCUUAUGAAUGAGACCAACUCCUGCGCCAUAUGAUACGUUAACGAUGCAAUAAAAGCUAGAAUCUGUAGCUUUCAAUUAUUCCCACUUUUUGAAGAAUUUUUUUUUUAGAAUCAAUCUAUACAAAGAAAUGUUAUCUGCAACUACUUCUGCUUAUAUGAAUUAUAAAGUAUAAUGACAUACUGCAGCAAAAAUUAAAAAAAUCCAAGAAUAUAUGGAAAACAUGAAUAAAGGCAUUAAAUGCUUUCCAUACUCGAAUUGCACAUGAAUCUAAUAUUUUUUUCUUCUCAUAUAUGACAAGAAGUGAGAACAAAUAGAUGUCACUUAAUGUUAAUCAGCAAUGCCAUGUAAAAGCCAGUAUAUGUUCCGCUGAAGGGUUGCAUAACCACUUCCUACCUUCUCUUUUCAAAAAGAAAAUAAGGUAAUGCAGAAAAGGCACAGAGUAUAGCUUAACCACUUAAUGAGUCCUCCUCUGUUAGUAAGUCCUAUGUUUUACACUCUAUCCACCUCAUUUUCCUUUUUCUCUGAAUAAUAGGUCGUCUAGAAAAGGCACAGGGUAAAGUAAAUUCAACCCUAAAUGUUAAUGAACAUCCUCUCAAAUCCAUUAGCUUUUCCUCAUUAUCUUGGCCCAAUCUCUCUCUGCCUUCCUAGUUCUAUCCAACAUUAAACUCAUAAUUUCAAGUUCAACUAUCCAUACAUACUCUNNNNNNNNNNNNNNNNNNNNNNNNNNNNNNNNNNNNNNNNNNNNNNNNNNNNNNNNNNNNNNNNNNNNNNNNNNNNNNNNNNNNNNNNNCCCUUGAUAAAUUUUUUAUAUAUAUUUUCAAGAGUAAGGCUUGACGCAGCAAUAAAGUUGCUCCAUUAUGACCUACAGGUCAUGGGUUCGAACUGCACGCGGAGGUAAGGCUACAUAAAUUUGACCCUCCCUAAACCUUGCAAUGGAAGGAGCCUUUGCACUAGGCCGUCCUUUUUUAUUUUUUCAAAGAAACUAUAUGAAUAGUAUGUCUUGUAGGAAUGGCCAUGGGAUACUUGUGACUUGAACAUGCCCAUAAUCACCAUCAUAAUCACCAACAUACUUUUCUACACAACUAAAAUAGAAGAAGCAAAUCUAAACCAACAUAAGAAUGUAUAAUCAAGAAAUCAACCCACAACAAAUUCUUAAAUUUAUAUUUAGUAAUAAUUUUACAAUAUAAAAGGUCCAUAAGGAAGCAUCUGGUAUUAAGAAUCCUGAUCAAGUUGCAAGGUGGCACACAUGAUCCUCAAUAUAGGAAUACAAAAGGUAUGCAAAAGUCAUUUAAUUGAUCACUAAAAAGCUUGAUCACACACUAAUAAUAGCCUCAGAAGGAUGUUUAUGAUUAUGAAAACAUCAAAUACCAUGUAGUAGACAAAAAAAAGAGAAAAUUUAUGGGAACAUAUGUUGAAUAGAAGCCUUAAAUCAGUAAUAAUGUGAGCUCCAACAUAACUUUUAGCCCAUUAAGCUUAAUCAAUUGAAUCUUGAUUGUGGGAUAGAUGGCAACAACAAUAGCAAUUAUGUUCAACAAGGUUUUAAAUCCUGUAGAAUGGGGUAGUCCAAGUUUUUCCGCAGUUGUGCCGCCCCGCCUCAGUACCCCAUCCCAACAUCGCGCGAAACAUCCCACUAGAACCUUCUAUUCCAAUUAGGUAGCAUAUAGCCAAAAUAUGGACAUUUCAAAGGGCCAAAGGUUGUCAACUUCUUUCACACCACUAAUAAAAUCCACCAUUUCACAAUGGUUUGAGACAAGUGGUUCAUAGGGCUUAUCGACGACAAAAAUAAUCACUGAACUACCAAAAACAGGUCCUUCAUUGAAGAAGGAAACCCUUCAUAUCAGCAAGAAUUAUAGAGGCAAACAAAGGUCUAUUUCACGGAAAAAGCAACUGACAACAAGACAAUAUAGUCAGCUGAAGCUUGAAAGCAUCAAGUGCAUCUUCUUUGGAAACCAAAAUGUCAUUCAUAAUUUAGUCAACCAUGCUUUGUUGCUUUUACAAUUUUGUAUCUUUAUAAUCACCCAACUCAAAGUUCCAAAUAUGACUAAAGUAUUUCAUUCUCAAAUCCAAACCCCCACCGCACCUCUUCAAGGGAAAUUAUUCCUUCAACAAAAAGUUAAUAAGCAUUACCCUGCAACAUCUAACCUUUUGCAAAGAAAGCAAGCAUUGUCUCCUCUUGUCUUUCCUUUUUACAUAUCCUGAAAUUUCAGCAUAGGCAAGAGAACUCAACAUAUGUCUGCUUUCUCAACUAGAUAUAAGCAAAGUGAUAUGGAGAAUAAAUUAUUGGCACAUGAUGAGCUGAAAAUUACCAAAAAUAUUCUAAGCUUUAUACCAGGUUAUCUUGUCCACAUUAAAUAAAGGAGAUAUGUGGACGCAGGUAACCAUGACAUAAACAAUUGAGUGCUCUAAGAUUUUUUCGUGAUCCUCUUCUGAAGUUUUUGAAAAACUAAAGCAGAAUGAAUAGGUCUGUAAAAUCUAGGAACAGUGUCAAUACUCCAAAAUUGAGACCCUCCUCUUUUUCAAAAUAUCUUACAAAACACCCAUCUUAAUAAUGACAUUUUCAUCCCAAAGAAGAUUUUCACAUGCUCUCCAGAAUUGUAAAACCCAUUCUAAAGCUUCAUAGCUGGCUGAAUUUCCAAAGACAAUCUGAAUCUCAAACAUGUCAAUUUUCUGAAUGGAGAGGGAUUUGUUUGCAUCACUGUUAUACACAUAAAAGGAAAAUGUUAUGGCAUUCAUUUGAUAACAUAAAAGGAAAAUGUUAUACACAUAAAAGGAAAAUGUCAUGGCAUUCAUUUGAUAAUAUUAAGAGAACCUAGAACAACUGAAAACUUCUUCCUUUGUUCUAACAUAAGAAUAAUCUAUUUCAUUACUAUAACUUUCCCAACAUAUUAGCUUUUUUCCUUCCACUUGCAGAUUUCUUAAAUUCUUAUUUUUCAGAUUAGCUGAACUUCCCAUGAACCUCAGUCAAAUUAGUCCCUUGAUCUAAUUGACCAAAUAUGAGAAGUAUAAAUGGAAUAACAGGAGACCUACUUAUAAAAGAAGUCCCAAGCACAAUGAACUAACAAUUUGCAACAUUUUGCCAAAAACCAAAGCAAAAGGAAAUCGACGUGUCGAGGUCAGAUAAACUAGAGGCAUACAUGCUCUAUGGCACAGCAAUGGUUGAAGAAUUACAUUAAAUUAGAAAUCCAGUUGCAAAGGUUUUUCUACAGACAUACUCAUUGCACAAAUUACUUAAACGUCUCAAUACAAGAAGCAAUGCUGCAGCCAGACAGACCAAAUUAGUGAGCAAUUUCCCCUGAAUAGAUUAUAAUACAAAGAUAAAACAGAAAACAACAAGAAAUCCUCCAGAUCACAAAGGAUUGAAAGACAACAAAACUACAUGAAUUAAAAGAAAGAAAGAAACCAAGAAACUCACUAAAAGACGCAACAAACGUAUCAAGAUCAGCCCUGAAGAAGAUAAAAAGGGACAGAAAUCAAAAGGCUUACAUCCAUUGGAGCCGCCGGGGUCUGCAACGAGACGGACUUCAACGCCGAGCCCCGCCGCAGCCUUCCGGGCCCUUCCUCCUCCACGACGUAAUUCCACCGCCUUCCAUUUAUCUCCUCGCAGCAAAGCACCCUGGACGGCGCCUUCUCCUCCAGCGCGAGCCCCUCCACGGCGGGCCCGAACCUCAGCUCCGGCAGCGAGGGCACCGGCGGGAGAGGCGCGGAGGCGAGGGCGGCGGCACCGGCGGCGGAGCGCAUGGCGUCCAGGACGAGGGCCUCCGGGGAGCCGCCGGCAAGGGUUAGGGUUUGGGACGGGCUCGAGGAGCGCUUCAUCGGAGUCGAAGCCAUCGGCAGUGAGGGCGUGACGAGGGAUCGGGGGUGGCGAGGGUAUUUAUAGGGUGGAAGGGCCUUGGGGUUCUCGUGGGUGAGGCCGCAUGGGAACCGCACGACGCAACGAGGUAGCGGGCGUGAAAAGAGAGAGAAGAAAGAAAAAAAAAGAAAGAAAUAAUUAAUGAUGAGUCCGCUGAGGAGUGACGGACGGUGGUAAAGAGGGAAUAGAAGAGGAGUUUUCUAGGCUGGAGUUUUUGGAGUUUUGGAGUUCAAGGCCUACUUGCGUUUUAAAUAGUAUUAGUAACAGCUUGUGGGAUGGACCUUUUGACUUUCGGAUGACUCCACCACCAUCAAAACACCAAACUAGCUGAGUUGGAAGUUUGUUCUUGGAGUACCUUUUAUUUUUGAUGUCAUCACCAAGGCCUACUAAUCGAGUGUAGUUGUGCGUGUUUUUCUUUUUUUUCUUUUUUUUUUGAUUGAUAACGGCAAUAGCCUACUGUCACAUUCUCAUAGAAAAAGAUUUCAGAAUGAUUGCAGCCUGAGGUGGCCACUUGUUUGAUACAUCGGUGCCAGAGAGCAGAGUUGAGAGCGACCUAAUCAAACUUGUGCUAUGUUCGAUGUGCCUUACAGGAGUGAGACAUUCUUUUGGAGGGUGACUCUGCGAUAGUUAUUGGAUGAAUCCUGCAAACUUCUGAGGGCUCGGCGACUACCAUCCACUGAUGAGAGAUAUCCAGGCCAUGGCUUCUGACAGGCUUGUUACUAACCACUCGGGAGACUACUUAUAGGAGGGAGAGGCAAAGUUGCCUACUGCUCUCCGUGAUGUAUUAUUUUUAAAUUUUUUUUAGCUGUAUUCGUACACGUUAUGUAUGAAACUUUCGUUUUCAAAAAAAAAAUCUAGAUAGAUCAUCUUUUGAAACAUUCCUAGAACACUUGGUACGUACAUCUCCAUCCAACAUCCAACAUCUCGACCCAUUGCUCGGUUUCCUUAAUGUGUUGUAGCUCGAUCUCCGUAGUUCUAGUCAUCAUGGUAAUAUAGUCCAGGAUGAAGGUGUUGAGGUUGGAAAGGAUGUACUCAUCCUUGUUAAUAAUAACGAGCAAGUUGAGGCAAUCACCUUCAAAUUAUCACCUGCAAGAGAUUUGAGUCGAUGCAUCAGAAACAUGGCCACGUACGCUAAAAGCCCAAAUCUCGGCAAAGAGAGAGGAGUCUAAGAUUGGAGGUAUACCUUUGGCUGCCAAAUAUUGUCUAGUAUUCUUUCUGAGGAUUAUGACUGCUUUUACCAUUGCUUCACCUGAGAUUACAGAAUUAGGAUCAUUAUCUUAAAUUAGUUUGGAGGGGGUGGUUCCCAUCUUACCCAUCUUACAUGUUGCUUUGAAGUUGUUUCAUGAUAUAUAGUUUUGAAUUACUUAUUUGCAUUGCACCAAGUAUUGGAAGCAUUCAUUUUUUUUAGACUCCUAUUCUCUAAAUUGUAUAAGUUUCAAGUUUUAAAGGCACCAUAAAACAGUAGAAAAUAGAGCCCUAUCCCAUUAAGGAUUGAUAUUAUCAAACCAGAAGGAAUCAUCUAACCAAUCUCCAUUCAACAACAAUGUCUAUCAUCUAGUUGCCAUCACAAUUAGUAAUGUGAUGUCUCUUAAUUUCUUUCCAUGUUUCUUUUUUUUUUUCUAUGAUGUCAUCGCUAAACAUCAUUAUUUCUUGAAGGUAGCCCUAGUUCAAUGCUAGUUAAAUCAUUUUAUGUCGGUGAUGGUCGUGUAUUAAAACUUGUGAGAUCAGUGCUUUGGCAUCCAUGUCCAUCUAGGCUGGGUGUGGUAAAACAUAGGACAUGUAUAAUAUGUAGGCUAUGAGGCAUUGGAUAAUGGUCAUCUCGUGUGCAUAGUGUUUACAUCUAUAUAUCAAGUUAUUAUAUAUAUCUAUUAGAUUUAGGCUCUGUUUGGAGGAGCUGUUAGUAGUAGAGCUUUUGGAAGUAGAGCGUUUAUAAAAAGCUGUUUGCUGUUUGGUAACUACAUUUCUAAAGUGCUGUGGCACUUUAACAUGUGUUUGGUAAACAAACUGAGAAAGUACUUUUGUGUGACAAAAUAACCAUAAAGGACAUUACCAGUAUUAUAUAAUAGAGCAUAAUAAAAUAUAAUAUGUAUUAACACAUAAAUAUAUAAUAUAGUAUAAUAUUAAUGUAAUGUAAUAUAAUAUUAUUAUAAUAUAGUACUAUAACAUUAUGUAUUAUAGAAUAAUAAUUUAAUAUAAUAUUAAAUUAUUAAACAUAACAUAUCAAUGUAUUAUGAUAUAGUAUAAUANNNNNNNNNNNNNNNNNNNNNNNNNUAAAUAUAUAAAAUAUUAUAAUGAUUAGUGUAAAUUAUUUUUUCAUCAUUCUAAUGACCAUUUAUCUCUCUAACAAAUAGAGAGAAAGGAAGAAGAAGAUUGAGAGGGAAAGGGAGAAAGGAAGAGGCGGGAUAAGGAUUUUGGGAGAAAAAGUGUGAUUUAAAUGGAGGUAUUUUGGUCUAAAAAACAGCUUUCCGACAAAACUGAAAAUAGUAUUUUCGAAAAGCUCUAAAUUGGAGCUUCUCCCCAAAAGCUGUUUUCAGCUUUCCGCAAAAGCUGAAACAGCUUUCCGAAAAUUUUACCAAACACCAUUUUUUAUCUACAAGUACUUUUGGAGGGCCAGAAAGUGCUUUUUGGCCCUCCAAAAGCUCCUCCAAACAGGGCCUUAGAAUAUCUAUUGGAGCAUGUGGUUUUUCUUGUGUGCUUAGGGAUUUACUUUGUUGUUCAUAAAGUAGGUUUCACUAUUAAGAUGCACUGCACCUUAGUUUUGAGGAUUAUAAUUUUAUUUAUUUUCUUUUUUUGCAUAUCAUUUGCUUGCCGGUAUAUAGGUUUCUAUACUAAAUGACCAAACCAUUACACUCUUAAGGGUCGCCAUGUAGCUACUAGCUAGCACAAACAAACAUGAUUCCAAACAUUGACUUGGUGACCAAUACAACAAGCGUGCUUGCAAUACUUAAAUCAUGGAUGGAACAUUUGGUAUCAUGAAUAAAGAAGAACAAAUAGCAUUUUUUUUCCUUUAUUUGUAGCGUUGUGAAAAUAGCAGACAUAAUUAAAACUAUCCUAUUUAAUUUGACACCAUUUACAUAAUAAUGCAGAAAUAUCAUAAGGCAUGGAUAGAUUUAUACAAUGGUUCAUGUUAGAAGAAGAAAAAAAUCCAAUGGCAUGUUUGCUAGCAAGAGAGGAUAAAUUGCAUAGAUAGUAAAGCACUAAGAUUGGGAUGAAGGGUAAGAAAAUGCUUAUUAGUCAUUAUUCAAUGCAAUGUUCUUCAGGUUAAGUGCUAUAAUUCUUGUUAUGAUAGAAGGUAAGUGAAGAAAUAGUGCCAAAUCAGACACUAUAUUUAAAUAAUUGUUCGGGAUGACAACUCUAGUAAGGGUAAAAAGGAAAAGAGAUGUCACAAAGAAUGCUUUAUGUUUGAUAAUUGACUUAUCAUUCUUGCAACUCCUUUUUUUGCUCAUGCAUUUAUGGCAUUUUGUUUAUUAUGACUGAAAGGAACUGGUCUAAUAAGUGCAAAAAAAAAAAGAAGCGACAAAUGUAAUCUCGUACAAAGUUUUUAAUUAGGCUUCAUUUUUUGGCACAUUUUAUUUCUGGCUUGUAUUUAAUCCAUGUUUUAUUUUGCUGAUUUGAAAAGUUGAUUAUUAGAAGUAAAUACAUAGUAGUAUGGAUUGUGCUCUAUUUGAAAAGCCAAUUGUUGGCCAUGUAAUGUGUAAACUGCAAUUAGAUUGACCCUUCUAAGUCAGUUAGAAAAAAGGUAUAGAGUCAUAAGCUUAUACCUUUGUACUAAUAUGAACUUGAGCUAUGCCAUUCCACCAUGAAUUACAUAUUAUACCUUGACUCUUAAUGCGCUUAAAGUAAUAGCAGGCAAUAAAUAUAGCCAUCUACGAAAUCAGAAGGAAAGGAGGUAAACCGCUGAAUCUUGCCAAGAGGUGUUUGAUAGACAAAAAUGAGAAAAAAAAAAGUAGAGGUGGAAUCACAUGAAUCCCAUCUUAGUUGUGCUGUAUACAAGGAUAACAUUCCAGUAAUGUAUAGGGAACCAAUUUUAGUAGCUACGAAUAGCUUAAGUAGCUAUAUAUAUUUGUUAUAUGGACCCUUUAUGAGUAGUGAGAAAGGGUUGUUCAUCAUUUUUGCUAGUCCAUCAAAAUUAAGGUUGUGAAAGAGGUUCCAAAAUUAUACACUAUAGUUUUUUUUUUUCUUUUUCUUUUUAGAAAGAAUCUGAUUGCCCUUGAUAUGUAAUAUAAUUAAUAAACUUAUAAUUUAUAAUUUAAUUAUGAAAUUUUAUUCCUUCAAUCUUAUGGAGCCAUGGCGUCAACUCUAUGGCCAGUGUACACAUCUGCCAUGCCCAGGUACAAGAUUUCCAAUGUUCUUAAAUAUCUUAAAAUUACAAACUUUUUAGUGGUACCAAUCAUCCAUCCAUUCAUCACUUCAUGACUGGUCUAAUAUGGUAACUGAAAUAUUGGGUAGUUUGAAAAAAAAAACAAAAGAGAGGGACCAUGCUUGACUCGGAUAUCACUCAGCCAGUGACUGCUUAAGCGCUUGCAUGUGGUCGCAUUAGAAGCAAAUGCGUUGCCUGCCCAAACACCGCAAUAGAAGCAGAUCCAGACUGCGACGGUGCACGUGGCGGCAAGGACGAGCAGAGGCGAUAAAAAAAUCGUACGCGACACACCGGUUGAACGGCCCUGAUCUCCCCAUCACAUCUGCAUCUCCCGUCGCCCCACGCCGGAGCCUGACCACAUUAAAGAGAAAAUGAUCCCACCAUAUUUAUCCUUCCAAGUUAUCUUUUCCGUUUCUCCCCCCCCUCCCCUUUUUCUCGCGCUCUCGCUCUCGCUCUCGGGAGCGGUAUCAUGUCGGGAAUUUUCCGAUGGAAGAGGCUGAGAGAGCCUGCGGCUCGCGCCGCCGCCGCCGUCGCUUCCGCACCCAGCCGCCCGAUCUGUACCAACUCCGCCGCCCCUCACUCUGGCCGCCACCAUCGCCGCCCCCCCGGCAUCCCGCACGGGCAGGAGCGGCACAAGUGGGCCGGCGGCGCCGACGAGUUCCACACCCGCCGCAUCCGCGCCGAGGCCAACUGCCCCCGCUGCUCCAAGCAUAUGGACGUCCUCUUCUCUAACCGCUCCCCGCCCUCCAUCGCCGGCGCCGGCGACCGCGGCGGCUACCAGGCCCUCAACGUCUGCCCCAGCUGCAAGACCGCCUAUUACUUCCGCCCCCACAAGCUCGUCCCCCUCCAGGGCACCUUCGUCGAGAUCGGCCGCGUUCGGGGCGCUGACUCCGAGAGGGAGAGGCCCGCCGGCGCCGGGGAUGACGAGGAGCAGGGGAAUCGCUUAAAGACCUCCUUUUGGGAGGCGCUGCGGUCUUCAUACGGCGGGGAGCCGCCGGAGAACUGGCCUCCCAUGCCAGGCCUGCCGGAGGGUAAUGGAUUGGCGGUGCACACCCCGCCCGGGCCGCCGUUCCCGCCGAAUUUGAACGUGGUGAGGGUGGCCGGGCCCGGCGGGGGCGGGGGAGGAGAGGGGGACCGGUGGUGGUGGUGGUGGAUUCGGGGGGAAGGACGGGUGGGGCGGGUCUAAUUUGGGGAAGGAUUUGCCCACGCCCAAGGAGAUCUGCAAGGGGCUCGAUAAGUACGUGAUCGGGCAAGAUCGUGCUAAAAAGGUAGCUUUUUUUAUCACUUUCUUGGCAAAUUCGUUGAACUUGUUUAUCAGGAAUAGAAGAUAUAGUAGAAUUUAAAUACAAGAAAUCGAUUCUUUGGUUUUAAUUAUUGAAUGUAAGUUAAAUAAUUUCCAUCACAAAGUCUAAAGACUUCGGAAGAUACUGGAGAGCAUUCUGAUCAAAGAUUUUUUCCUAAUUAUAAAUGUGUCUGUUUACUGAUCAAAGAUUUUUUUCCUAAUUAUAAAUGUGCCUGUUUCUUGAAAAAGUGACCUUUUCCCCCUCCAUUUCUUUUCCAAUUUUUCCAUAGUACAUAAUGCGGACAAUAAACACCAUUCCUACCAUGUAAAUGGUGAUUGCGUGGUGGAGGAUUGUUGUAUCUUCCAAAAGUUUCUUUGGGGCCUACACCCACCUAUCAAACUGACUUAAAGGGAUAUAAUGGAGAAAGAUUUCAGAUUUGGUCUUCAUCUCUCCGCCCGAACAGUUCGCCACAUAACCUCAUCUUCCACCCGACAACACCAAUUCUCACUCAAGGUCUUCAAGUUGAUAUUCUUAUAUCAAAUUGCUCAUCUUUCUUCCAUGUCCCAGUUCUAGAGUAAAGAAUCAUGACUUUUCAUGAAGACAUUGUGAAAAAAAUACAUCAUGUUAUCAUCUUUUAGAUUCCUAGAAUAAAGGUUGGGAGCUUUUUUUAUUUUUUUUAAAUGUUCUCUUUUCAAAUUAGGUUUCUCUGAAAAGCAAGAUUCAUACUUUCUCUAGCAUGUGUUUUGGAAUAAACUUUUUAAUUCCAAAGUCACUCAGAAUAGCCUCGAUAGUAUGUUUCUAUUAUGCAGUAGGUCUGUGUUUCAGCAAAUUACCUAGUGUAACCCGAAAACAGAUUGGUUCUUGCAAGGGAAUGUGCUGACAAUCCUUUUAACUUGCAUGUAGGAGUAAAAUAAAAGGUAACUAUGGCUUAGGACAACUAGCCUUCUCCCUGCUAAUAAGUGAGCUAUAAGAAUCAAAUAGGCUAGUGAACAUUCAUACUUACUGAAGAUUGUAGAAGGCAGGAUGUUAGUUCAUGCAAUAUGUAUUCUUCUAACGUUUACUGUUGCUUUUGGGUACCUAGUGCUUUGCACAAGUCUACUUUCUUUUUUAAUUAACCUUCCUUGUUGUCAUGAUCAAACAGAAAGCACCAUAAUAUCUGGUUUUGUUUCUCAAGAUACCAAGUCUCAUCUUUGGUUUCUUUAUUCUUUUUAUUGGAUAUUGUGUUUAUGUGGUUAAACCAACAAUGGGAAAUUAUCCAUCUUAAUAAUAAUGAUGAGAUUUUUUGUAAUGAUUUUUUUCUGGUAAUCCACUUAAAAAUUGCAGGUGCUAUCUGUUGCUGUGUACAACCACUAUAAGAGAAUCCAUCAUGCAUCUUUACAGAAAGGGUCUGUUCCCAUUUAACCUUCCUAUAUCUAUUUCAUUUUCUGCUCUAAUCCUAUGGCUUAUGUUUGUUUUGUUAUAUAUCUUUUCUUUAAGUUCAAGUGUAUGUGGGUGUUAUAUAUGAGUAUCAAAAACUUGCUCAUUCUUGGUGAUGUUUUCUGACGGCUCAUGCUGAGCUGAAUUUACUGAAAAUACACAGAUCUGGAGCUGAUUCAGGGAACUUUGAGCCUGAAAAUGAUGAUGACGAUAAUGUAGAGUUAGACAAAAGCAAUGUGCUCUUGAUGGGCCCUACUGGCUCAGGUACGGUUUACAUUUUUCUGAUGUGAUGGUUUUGCCGAACAUGCUGCACUUAUUAUGUCCUAUCUAUCAUCAUGAGAAGUAACAGGGAAUUAUCUACUGUAUUUUAUUUUUUGAUGGCCUGGCCUACGUAUAAAUUGUUUUAUUGUCUGUAAGGACAGGGAAGACAUUACUUGCAAAGACAUUAGCUCGCUUUGUGAAUGUGCCAUUUGUUAUUGCGGAUGCAACAACACUGACACAGGUAAGUGCACUUAUGUUCUUUUAGUUACUUACUAUGUUGAAAAUAAAAAAAUAUUCUUUCAUAGUGUAACCCUCUAGCCCAAGGAACUCUGCUGUUGUGGUUUCCUGAUUUUUAGAUUUAUUAAUUCAUUUUUCUUGCAGUAUGUAUUUAUGAUUUUCUUAAGAUAUUUUUAUCCUCUGAUUAUUUUAAAUUAACUUAUAAAUGAUUCCUCUAUUUAAAAUCUUGCACAUUUAGCAUAAAAGCUGAAAGAAAAUUCAAGAACAUUUUUACCUGCUCCAUACACAUUCUGAUGUGCUUGUUUUGGUCUACUUUUGAUCUUUUAUGCAUGUAUCAUAAGAAAAUUCUGUAAUUGGGAAGAAAACAUAUAACCAUCUGAUGAUAUAUUUAGAAAUUAGAGUCAAGGCCAGUUUAUGUAGCAAUUCAUUUUGAUCUAUGAGAUCCUCGUGAACAAGGUCCUUUGAGAGAAAGAGUGCAAUUUUUACAUCAAUUCUGUCAUCUGCUCAGCAUUUCUUGAUGACAAUCAUAGGCAUUACUCUUUUUGUUAAACAUUUUUUUUUCGAGCUUCAAACUUUUUAGUUUUAAAAGAAUGAUACUUUUGCGAGGUUGCAAUGAAACAAUAAUGAAGAGAAAAAUUCUUUCUGAUGUCAAAGUUGGAUCAUAGCUUAUAUUUCAGCCUAUAUAAUUCUUUGACAGCACACUUCAGCUUACAUAGUGUUUGAAUUAUUCAUUUAUUUAUUUUUUAUUAGUGUUGCACUAAGUAUUCCUUGGUGGAAUGUUUUAAAAGGUAUUUUGAGCUUAUGAACUUUUCAAUUAGAUAUUAGGUUAGGAGUGUCUAAGCUUCACAUACAUUGGGCUUAUGACAAAGUUAGAUGCCUCUGGAAGACACAACCCAAAUAUUUUACUAGAUUUCAAGUGUUCAAAAAUAUAUAUCAAUGGUUAGUUGGAUUUUUUUAUGGGUUCUUUGAUCUUGGAGCCUGCCUAGCUUGCAUGAUUUGUUUUCCGCCAUUAAUAUAUCUCAGUAUGUAUGAUGCUUAUCUUGAAGGUUUUUGAACUAAAUUAUGGAGCAUUCCAUUGUAUGCUUUAUUUAUUUAUUUUGUGGUGGGAGAAAUAAUUUUGGUUGUUAUGAAGAUUAGUAGCUAUAUGUGCUAUGAAAGGUAUUGUAUUAAUACAGAGCAAUUUAAUUUUAAUUUUACUUGAUCAGUUGAUUGCAGAACGGUUAUUAGUUUCGUGAAAUAUACCUUGCACUAAUCUCUUACUGCCUUUUGAGUGCACCAAGAGUCCCUAGGUGUUGAUACAGAAAAAAGAGCAUAAACAAAUUAGCUAGGGACAGAACCUUUGCCCUUGCUAGAUUUUGAGGGUGGGCAGACUUUCUUUACAUGUUUAGGAAACUUACUAGAUUAGUGAGAGGCGCUGAUCAUUGAUAGGUUUUGUAAAUAAAACCAGCAAAAAGACAAGUCAUGUAGGGACAACCCUUGCUAUAUCUCAAAGUUUUUCCCCUGGUGGGAUAGGAAAGGAGAAGAAGAAGGUGGCAAUUAUAAUCCAUAAUCUUAAUCAUCAAACCUUCUGCUAAUAAUUUGGUAUCACUCUUAUGAAUAUUAAGUUACCAAGUAUUCCUAUCUAGGGUGACCUUUGGUGUUACUUCAAGCCUUUUCAUAUGCAGUUUCACAUCUUCCAUCCAUGUCACUCGAGAUCUUCCCCUUCUCUUUGUGAGUCCUUUGACAAAACAUAUAGGGACCAAAGAUUAAGGAUUUGCUGUAAUUGUAAAAUUGUAAAGCAAAAUAAUAAAACAUUAAAAAGGUAAGCGAAGAAGAGGAGAACAAGAAAGAAAGGAGAAUCAGAAACAAAUUUUACUGGUGACAAGCAGAAUGUGAGCUUUUAUAUGUGUAUUUUAUGUGUCUCUAUGUUGUAUGUGAAUUGUGAAGUUGCAAGUUGUGAAGUAAUAAGAAUAUGAAGAAUAAUAUAACUUAGCUGAUAUUUGGAAAUGCUGAAGGCUUUAACAGCAAAGUAACUGAGGAAUAUUGAACUGUUGUAGGCUUGUAGCUGCAUAUUGGAUUACAUGCUUUCUUUAUAGAAGAUGUAACUAAGCAAUUCCUACUUGGUAUAUAAUAAUGUGACACACAUGUUGCUAUCACACCACAGUUAGCUUAUGUGCAUGUCUUUUUGUUUGCUUUUGGUAUUGCAGUACUAAACUGAAAACGGACAAAUAUUUGUACAGGCAGGCUAUGUUGGAGAGGAUGUUGAGUCAAUAUUAUACAAGUUGCUUACGGUAUGGUUUUGGAUAUUCUCUUAUUCAGAUGCUUUAUAUUACUAGCUUGGAUUAUCUGAUUGUCCGUGAUAUUGAGGAGAAUUGAAUGCAAAAUAUGUAACUAUUACCAUUGCAUAGUAUGGUAACUGUAAUCUGAAUUGCGGCAUUAUUCAUUUUUCUUUGCAAGAAUGCUGUCAUUAGUUUUUUGACAUCUAGCCUGUAUAAUUCUAUUGGAGAUAUUGAGAUAUUUACACUUCUCAUGAACGUAACAGGAUUUUCCUGUUAAUGGUUUCAAAAAUAUGUUUUUACUUGUAUGCCUUACUUGAAAAAAAUUCAAUUGGUCAAUCAAUUAUGCAAUUAAAGUUAUAUAACAUAAUGAGAUUUAAGAAAUGCAGUUAUUAGGUCCUGAAUAUGAUAUUUUCAGUUUCUUCCUUUGUAUGUAAUUUUGCUGUUUUCUGAGGUACUUUUUUUAUGAAAUGUAUGAACAGUACCAGGACAUUCUUGGGCUUGCUGAUGCAAUGCAAUUGACUGGACUGCUAGAGUAAUACUGCUAGAGUAAUAGUUUGCUCCAGCAGUCAUUGGUGCUUUCAGUUAUUAUUUUCCGAAGGCGGAAGUUGUUUUAUGUACAUAAUGCAUCUUGAGUUGCUAGGCUUUUUCUUUGAUAAAUUGGCUACACGAAAACCAUGCUAAAGGUAUGUGAAGGAUACUGCUGAAGUACUAUAACAACUCAGGACCUCGUUCAAAAAGGCUAGUCGAAAGGUGUUAUUUGGGUUCUUUGGGCUCUGUAUAAGUAUCUGCGAUCUACCCAAUGCAUAGCUGAUGUGGGAUUAAACACGCCUGUAUGUGUCCUCACAAGGAUAUAGGACAUUGCCAAAUAAAAUAAUGAUCCAAAUAUGUAAAUAUUUGUGACAUAGUACUUGGAAAGUUUUGAACCUUCUCAUGUUACCUCUGUUUAUAAUCCAAGUAUCAUUGCUUGUACAGUAUAUCAGCAUUUUGUCUUUACUUUCUUGCUGUCUUUUCUUGCGUAUUGCACCUUAAAAUCUCAUCAAGUGAAUACAGGCUGAGAUACCGCUUUCCCUUCAUUGUUGUUAUUAUGAUGCCAUUGGAACAUGAUUUAGUCUCCCUUUCUAAAACAAGCUACCCCUGGUUAUCUUGUGCAGCGUAUCCCAUUGACACGAAUCUUCUUUUCCCCCUUUUUCUGUCAUCUCAUCUUUUUUUUAUUUUUCUUAACGAAUUCAUUCUUCUUAAACAUGCCAACAGACUGCAUCCAAUCUAAUUGAGGGCUGUUUUCAUUUAUUCUUCCUUGAUGUUUGCUAAAUCCUGAGCCAAUUGCAACUCAAUCAAAUGAAUACUUGCAAUUAUCAUAUAUGCUUCAAUAGAUAUUAUCCUUCUUGUUCCUGGCCCUACCGUAUAGAUCUGAGCAUCUAUCUUUCUUGGCAACCCUUGGUCUUUAUUGGAUGUAUACCUGAUAUUUUGAUUGGUGCUCUCUCACUUUAUUCUCUAUUAGCGAACUUUUUGUAGUUUCAUUUGUAAUUUGGCCUUCCUAGUCACACAAAAUGAGCAUGAGCAACCAUAACUUUCUCACAUGUGCCAUGUUUAUCUUAUAUAUCGAAACUAAUUGUUUCGUAACAUUUUAGUCUGUCCAACAAUGUGUACGUUACUAAUGAAAUCCUGGAAUGUCACUCUAGAAGCAAGCAUCCACUUCAUUUGUCUUAUUCUGUUUCUGGUAGAACUCUCUCUCUCUCUCUCUCUCUCUCCUCCUCUCUUAAUAUAUCCUUAAGGCAACAAUAGUUCUCAUUUUGUGGCACACCAAGGAGAUCACUUACUAUUGUUAAUACUUUUCCAUUCUGUGGCUAGUGAUCUAAUUACUAAUUACCAAAUACAUUUUUAUACUUUCCCAUAUCUAGCUCUAGAUAUGGUGCUAUUGUUAAUCCUAAAAGCUUCAAGAAUAUGCUGAGUCAUCGUACUUUCUUGUGUUCUAUUUAUUUUGCAAAUGCACCUCAAACCUUCAGACUUACACUCUUCUCUUUUAAAUGUGUUAGGUUGCUGACUUCAAUGUGCAAGCAGCUCAACAAGGCAUAGUAUACAUUGAUGAAGUUGAUAAAAUAACUAAGAAGGUAUUCACAUUGAUUUAGUUAUUGAUUUACUUAUAUCUUCAUUUACAUCUUAUUAACAGGAUUUACAAAUGAUUAACUUUGCAGGCUGAGAGCCUAAAUAUCAGUAGAGAUGUAUCUGGUGAAGGUGUUCAGCAGGCAUUACUGAAAAUGCUAGAAGGAACUGUAAGUCAUAUAUCAUGCCUUAUUAUUUCUUUUAGUUUCAUAUGUAUUUAUCACUUAAAAAUUGUACUUCAUGUGAAUGUGCAUGGUGUUUGAGACCUUUGGUGCCAUCUUUAAGAGCUCUGCGGUAUUCCACUUCCUAUCAAUAAAACAUAUAGCAAUUGUCUGGCAAUCAUCAUAUAGCAUAACAACAAUCAUCAUAUAGCAAUUGUCUUUAAGUUCUCUUUUCCAUAUUUGGAUGAUACUAUCCCCAAUAAUGAUUAAUAAAAUAGAAGUAAAGUUUUCAUAUUUGUUGUGUGAUAUUAUAAGGUUAUUAUGCUUUCAUAAUAGGUCCAUUUAAGUAGUGCCCUUUGAUUGAAUUGUAGAUCUGUGAGCUUAUUCAUUUUAUUUAUUAACAUUUAAUGUAAGAGGAAUAGCAGGCUUGCUUUUUUCUUUUUCUUUUUCCUUUUUUUCUUCAUUUGACUUAGUUGAUUGUUGUAGUUAUACUAACAAUCAUAAUUAACAGACGACCUGUAUAUUUGGAUUCAAAUUUUUGUGGAUUAAAUGGAUAUAUUGUUGGCAGAUAACGAGAAAUUGACAAAAAACUUAUAAAUCACAGUGUACUCUAUAUAAGCAUAUAAAGAGGACUCUGUCCUGAUGGUUAAGUAUAUUUGGCUGGUGGAAGUAUAGGAAUGAUAUGAUUUUGGAAGAGGACUGCUGGUAAAUUAAAAAAGAAAGAAAUAAUAGAUAACUUACUUUCCUGUCCUUUGAUGUAGCUCUAUAGUCAUAAGCGUAUGUAUGUUGAUAACUGAUGGUUCUGAGGGCAUGAAAUUAAGAAAAAAAGGGCACACAAUGCACGAGGCUCCCACUAGUGCAGGGUUUGGAGGGUCAGAUGUAUGCAGCCUUACUCUUGCAUGAGGAGAGGCUAUUUUUGUGUUUUGAACUUGUGACACCAAGGUCGCAUUGGAGCAACCUUACUGAUUUGCCCAGAGGGCAGGAAAUUAAUAAGCACAAAAAAUAUGACCUCUUUGUGCUGGCUAAUGAUGGUGGUGAUGCUCCUCAACUUGUGAUCUUGGAUGUCCAUCUCUUCUAAUGAAUGAAUUUUGUAGGACGAUUAAAUAUACACUAGACAUGUGCCUUGCAUGUGUCAAUCAACAUGAUUUUUUUCCUUUUUUGAUUUUACAAAUCAUUAGAGAGUCAAGUCUUGGCAGUUCCAUAGCAGGGAUAGGGAGUUGCAUAGGUGCUUCAGGUUGAAUGAAAAUGAAGACAUUCAUUAGAAUGUAUAUUAGAAAGUCACUUUUCUGCAGCUUUAGACAAACGUACUAAUGUAUCUCGUUUUUCAUUGGAAUUAUUUCUGGAUGAAAUUUCCAAGUUUUAAGCACCAAAAUGAUCUAUAUACUGCUUAUCCAUUAAAGUUUGAAUUUGGAUAUAAUAGGUUAUUUUUAUCUGAACAAAUGGGACUUCUGAAUUUUGAGGUAUGGAUUCCAAAGCUGUCCUUAAAAGGAAAAACUGCCAUAAUCAUUCUUACUUUAGGACUCUAACUGAUUAUGUCAGUUUGUGUUUUGUAGUACCUUAUUUUUGUGCUUGUCUUGGCUUAGAAUAACAAUGAUUAUGAAAAGUAGAACUGGAUUUGUGAGUAGUAGGUUUGAUCUCAGCCCAUGUUGAGUCAUACAGUGUGCUCAAAAGUUUAUAUGCAAGAAAACAUGUCUGUGGCCCUAGAACGGAUGCUGCACAUGGAAGCACCCAAAACUUUGCAACAAGUUAGAGCGAUACUUAGAUCUAAACUUUUACCUUAAUCCUAGGAUAGGUGUCUUCAUUCAUCUGAGCUCAGCAAUGGGAACAUACUGCAUUCAUGAUUUGACUUUUUAUGCUUUUGAGUCCAUUAUCUGACUUGCUUUAAAAUAUAAAAAAUGCUAUCUGUGUAGUGUUGAUUCUUGGCAGAUGGUAUCCUCGGACUGUCUUCACCAAAUGAUAAUUGGUGGAUCAAUCCUGUCUUUUAUCAUUUUAAUUAUAGAGCAAUUAAACUUAGUUUACCUAUGCUGUAUUUAAAAGCAUUCUACCAGAGUCUUGAUGUUUGGCAAAUUAUAUAAUUAUUUAUUCAGCUUCUGGAUAAUCUGUUGUUUAAUUAUCAUGUUUCAAGAAUCGUGGGUCGUCAAACAAAA